UCUGACUAGGUCCGUGCAUCCCCAUAUGGGCUCAGCUUAGGACCCAUGUAAUCAUCGGCCCACCACCGCGUAGUUACACGUCACAUACAAUGUAAUCAUAUAGUGGAAUAACUAUUUUCGAACAACUCAUUUUCAAGCAAUCUAUAAGGUUUUCUAGCAGAACCAAGGGUGUAUCUGACUAGGUCGGUGAAACUGCAUAUGGGCCACGCUAAGGGCAUAUGUAUCCGUAGCGCACCAUGCAUGUUUACUCGCAAAAUAUAUUAAAGUUAUGGUGUGGCAUGACUAUUCAUCGACGAUGUGGUGGGAAAAUUCGUCCAAUUUUCAAAUGGGCAUUUAACAAGAGUGAUGAUGUUGAGUUCAGUAACUCUUAUAAGUGGCAUCUAAUAAGCACAUUGUUCCUUAUAUUAAUGAUCGCUCUGUGAUGGCAUUGAACCAUACCCCGAGAAGGGAGCACAAAACAAGGGUGGAUAAGAUUUUUUUUUUUGAAAGCACGAAAUGCGAUGAAAAAAAGAAGACACUACAAUUGCAGGCGGGGUCGUGAAGUAGUAGAAAAACUCAUGUAAAAUUCAAGUACAAGGUACACGCGGAUGGCCAUAUUUCAAGAUGGUUAAAUGAUAUAUUCACCACGGCAGAGUUUGUUGGAAUAUAUGUAUGAGUUGGAUUGCAUUUGAAAUUCUAAUUAGUGAUGGGUUGAAGUGAAUCAAAUACGUGUAACGCGGUUCUAACAUACGAAGACACCGCAUGGUAAUCAAAUAGAGUAGAGAAAAAAAAUAGAACUAGACACAAGAUCAUGAACCACAGAAUAGCCGCGAGACUGGACUGGCCAAGGCGGAGGUUAAAGACGUGAAGGUUCUCGGCGGAUUCCCUCGCACCAUCUAUACAUGGGGAGGAGCCGGUAGUAAAAGAUCCAAGAUUGCAACGGCAAUGGUAAACCUCGUUAAAAAAAAUAUAAAGCCAUCUUUGGAACAUAUGAAUUUUGAAAAAAAUAGUUAGAGGAUUCUGAUCUAUGGUACAAUUGCCAGAAAAAAAAUUAGAUCAUAGGAUUACACAAUAGAUUCCACAUGAUAGGAAUUUUUCCUUCAAAUUUUGGGGAAUCCAAACACGUUCCAGGAGCUAAGCGACGGUAAACAAAAUGUGGCUGAACCAUGACCGCGAGGGAACUCUGCAGCGGCACCGGCCUACUCGGUGUCCCGGAGCCUCUUUAAUAUUUCGGUUUUGCUAUGCCCAACUCUUCUAAAUUUUUAGUGAAGAAUGGUUUAGCCGUUGGAUCUAGUUUGUUGUGCAUUAAAGUGCGGAACAAACAACAGAGAAAUGAGAGUAAGGAUGACGUACAGACUGCUGAGUGAGACUUUAACCGUCUUGUCCGAGAAUCAGGACACGUGAGGCAUACCAGCGUACACACAUAAUUUUUCAACUACUAGUAAAAUCUGAAUAGCAACAACAAAUACGGCAAGCUAAUAAAUUUCUUGGUGCACAGAAUGCACGGAUAUUAGAGUAAACACUAUAAUCCUCGCAGGAUUUGGAUGAAAUUCUCCAGUCACUUACAAAUCCAUACGAAUCACAGCUAGUGCCACAGUGACAGCAGCGAGUGAGAUUAACAACAGAAUACAAGAAGUGCAGCAGUGGCAGCAGCGCAAAUCAGCCGCGGAAGGAGCUGUCCUCCGGCCGGCGCCUGGGCCCCGGCAGACAAGAACCCGUAGUGCCCGGGCGGCACGGGGGUGUAGAUCCCCGCGGCCGGCGGCGGCGGCGGCGUCUUCUCGCAAUUGCACGGCGGCGGGGGCGCGGUGAGGCGCGCCGACGGCGACGGCGGGGGAGGAGAGUAGUAGUAGAACUGCUGCACCAGCGGCGGCGGCGGCUGCGCGGCGGCCGGCCGCGGCGACGGCGAGAAGACGAGGAGCAGCAGCAGCAGCAGGGGGAGGAGGAGUUGUUGGUGGGGGAAUGCCAUGGGAGCUGCGAGAUUUGGGCUAACGGUGAAGUGAACCUGAACUACUAGCUCGAGUACUUGUACUGCAGGCUUUCGCUUUUGACUUCGAGAAGCGUGUUCCCCUUCGCACUAUUGACAUCUACGAGGUGGCGCGAUGGGCCUCGGGGAAGGCUGGGAUCUGGUCCGUUGGUCACGCCAAUAGCGGUCUGUGUAUCUGACGGCGGGUGAUGGAUGAAUACAGUAGCGUGGGUGUUGGUCGGUCGGCUCAUCGGUUUUUUUCGUCGGUGGAUCAGACCAAGCUAGGGCGCGUGUCACGCACAUGUGCCACCGCCCCCGAGGCCGCUGCGCCUGCGCAUCCAGCCAGUACGUACGGGCGUCAGCGUGAGGCGCCUAUGCGAUGCUUUUUUGGUUGCAGACGCUUGUACGCUUGUCGUCAUUUCUCCUCUUGCAGGACACGGAUCGACACGUUCAUGCACAGAUAAGGGUGACUGGACGCCAGCCAGGACACGCCUUUGCAGACCUAUUCAGACGCCAGCCAGGACACGCCUUUGCAGACCUAUUUAGAGCUCUUCUUCCAUGGUGCACCAGAAUUAAUACGAACCGUUCGUUUUCUUCGUCUAACGGCUCAGAUUGCUUGCUACUCUUUGAUACUUCAACUUGAGCAUUCGGAGUAUCCGGAUGGAGUACUAAGAAGGCAGGGGUACAUGCGUAAUCUAACCGUUGCAAACGAAAAAAAGAAGACGUACCGAGGUUGCUGGGAGGGGGCUGCGCCGGCGUGCCGAGUUGAGGACGGCGUAGGAUGCUGUGAGGCCCGCGACGGUGAGCUGCGCGGAGGGCGGCGGGCAGCACGCUGCAGGAGGCCGACGGGGCCGCUGCGAGGUCCGCGACGGCGAAUUGCGCGAAGGGCCGCGGCGGUGCGUUGGAGGAUGGCCGACCACGGAGGCGCAGCUGCGAGGUCCGCGACGGCGAAUUGCGCGAAGGGCCGCGGCGACGCGUUGGAGGAUGGUCGGCCGGCUGCGGCGGUGCCGACGGCCUUUGCGAGGGCCGCGGAGGCGCAGCUGCGAGGUCCGCGACGGCGAAUUGCGCGAAGGGCCGCGGCGACGCGUUGGAGGAUGGCGGCCGGCUGCGGCGGCGCCAGCGGCCUUUGCGAGGGCCGUGGAGGCGCUAGAGGAGGGCGCCGGAGGCCGCUGUGAGGGCCGCGACGGCAAAUUGCGCGAAGUCCGCGGCGGCGCGUUACAGGAUGGCCAGCUGGCUGCGGCGGCACCGGCUGCCCCUGUGAGGGCCCCGGCAGUGAUCUGGAGGAGGCCGGCGCUGGCGAGCGGCAUGGUGGGUGGCGGCAUCGCCGGAGGCCGAGUGACGCGAUCAGGAUCAGCAGCCAACAGGAACGCGAUAGGCAAGGAAAAAUCUGACAUUAUUUUGAUUUUUAAUGUGAAAAGACUAUAAUACCCUUUCCAAAUACUCCAUUUAGUCCAAUGGAGUAUCAGGUACCCAAGAAACCACCUUUUGUUUGUUUGUGGCUUUCUUCUGUAACUAUUGCUCUUGAGCUAAACUGUAUUAGAAAACCCUAAUUUGGCCAUCAAUUUGGCUAACAGUGGUUUUGACCGUGGGUUAUAUCUAGUGGCGGAGGCAAGAUGUGAUGAAGACCAAGGCCAACUAUUCAUAAUAGUCUGAAAAGAACAAAUCAGAGAUGAAAACUGCUCAGGCCAAAUUCAAAAUCCUUCCAAAUUUACCAAGGAAAAACAUCUCACGCCCUAGGCCACAGCCCUGGCUGUCUGGGGCCUGUCUCCGCCCCUGGUUUUAUCCGUCGGAAUUAGAAUCAUAAAAAGGGCUUUGAUUUAGCUGGUCUAGUCCGGUUCUUGCAUGAUUCGGACUGGUUUGAUGCCUAGAGUCUUCUCCUUUGCAAGUCUGCGCAGCUUCGACCUUCAACCGCUCGCAGUCCAUACCAAUGGUGCUCCUCUCUGCUACCUCCCCCACCAAGACUUCCACCUCUCUCGCUCUUCUUCCAUGAUGAGUCAUCCUACUAGGCGCAACAGCACCGGAGCGAUGGGCUCCUCUGCUGAAGGGGCAAGAAGAUGAAGAGGGCGCAUGUCAGGCCGUGCGCGAUGGUAAUGCGGCCGUCCUCGUGGCCAGGGAAGAGGCCUCGUGUAACGACUUGUUAUUCAAGUUAUUCAAUGAGAAGGUCGCCAUUUUAUUUAUUCAAUGAGCUCCGUAACUUAAAUUUUACAACCGGCUUUAUAACUUCAAUGCCAAGCUAUUGUCAGUUUCCUUCGAACGUUCCUUCCUUUUUUUUUGACCGAAUAACAGUAGGAGAGGCUCCUACUGCGGUAUAUUAAUAAAUAAAAGAUAUGUAUAGGAUAUUACAUAAUUACAAAGUGGGACAAGCCCCAGAGAGGAAAACUAGAGGAAGUCUAAUACAGUGGUAAUCUCAAAGGACAGGUUUUGAGGCACCCUAAAGCCUAAGAGGAUGAGAUCAGCUUUCAGUCUAGCUCUCCAGGUUUGGAUGGUUGCUGGAGCUCCCUUGAAGAUUAAAUCAUUACGAAUUUUCCAGAUAUUCCAUGCAGCUAAAGCAAAGACCUCAAAGAAAAUGGGGCUGCCAAAAUUGAGUUUAAUCUCUGGGAGGAUAUCCAAACAGUUAGCCUCAAUGGGCCAAUAAAUCCCAAUUUGUAACCAGCACUCGGAGCUAAAAGGGCAAUUAAUGGACAAAUGAUUGAGGGUUUCUUCCACUUCAGCAUCACAAAGAGCACAGUUUAUGUCACCACCAACCAUGAAGUUCCUCCUGUUCAACAUAUUCCUGGUGUUAAGUCUGUCACUGAGUAGUAGCCAUGCAAAGACUUUAACCUUCAUUGUGACUUUAGACUUCCAGAUCCAUUUAAAUGGCCUAGGAACCUCAAGUGUUUUGAAACAAAAGGAAUAGAAUUUGCUAGAGGAAAAAGCACUGCCCCAAACAGGUUUCCAGAAGUCAUUUCUCAUAAUAGACAUAUCAGCAUCUGCAAUGGCCUGGUCAAGGAGCUCAAUUUCAGAGAAGGCUUCAGGGGACAAAGGUAUAUGGAAUGAAUCCUCCAGAUUGCCAAUGUUGCAGUAAUCAGCAAGGGAAAUGUCAACAUUUUUAGCAAAAGAGUAAAGACAAGGCCACUUCUCAGAGAGAGUUUCAUCAUCCCAAGUGUCCUUCCAUAACAGGAUAGUGUCUCCCCUCACAGGUUGGCAACAAGUGAUAUCACGAAAAAUAGGCAUUAAACUGAAAAUAGAUUUCCACCAAAAGGAGCCGACUGGAGUAGCAGCACGAGGAGCACCUUGUGGAUAGUAGGACUCCCAGAUGAGGUUAACCCAAGGGACAUCCAUCUUAUUAAUGAACUUAUCUAAGUGCUUCAGAAGCAGGCCUUGAUUUUGAACUCUUAGAUUGAUGACACCCAGGCCACAUUUAUCUUUAGGAUGACACACACGGUCCCAAGCAGCAAGGGAGUUACAAGAAUCACCAUUUGCAGGUUUUUUUUACUCCACAAGCAUCUUCUCCUGAUUUUGUCAAUUUGCUCAAUGAUCUUCACAGGGAGCUGAAGGGAGCACAUUGAUUAGGUGGCAAAUGAGGAGAGAACAGAGUUAACAACUAUAAGUUUGCCCCCAUAAGAGAGAAGGGCAGUUGUGCUGGACAUUCUCCUCUCAAUUCUGUCAACUAGAGGAAGAAAAUCAGAAAACAUAGGUUGAGUGGUACCAACAGGGAGACCCAAAUAGGUGAAAGGCAUAGAGCCCACUUCACAACCAAAAAUGCCAGCCAGGGCCAUUGCUCUUUUAAACUCCAGGUUGAUGGGAAUAAGGCUUGACUUAUGGAAGUUGAUCUUAAGUCCAGUGGAGUCAGCAUAAGCAACGAGAAGGUUCUUGAUGUGACUAAGUUGGGAGUCACAGGCAGGAUAGUAUCAUCAGCAUACUGAAUGACAGGAAAAUCCCCUUCUCUACUGAUAGGAGCCUGAAGAUUUCCAAGAGAAAACUUUUUAUUGAUGAUGGCUUGCAGUAAAUCAGCAGCAAGGACAAAGAGCAAAGGGAUAGGGGGUCCCCCUGUCUGACUCCUCUAAGGCAUUGGCACUUCUUGCCAGGCACACCAUUUAAAAGCACUGCAGAUUUCCCAGAGGAGAGAAUGGUUUUGAUCCAAGAGAUCCAUCUAUCAUUAAAGCCAAAAUGUUCAAGCAUCUUCAAAAUAACAUCAUGCUCAAUCAUGUCAAAGGCCUUUUCGAAAUCUAACUUGAGAAUGACUAAGGGUCUACCAGAGGAUUGGCAUUGGUGAAGAUAUUCAAAAGCCCAAGCCAGACAGUCCUGAAUAGAUCUACCUUUGAUGAAUCCAUAUUGGUUUCUAUGGACCACUUUCAGGAUCCAUUUUUGUAAUCUAUCAACAAUGAGCUUGGUCAGCAGUUUCAGACAACAGUUCAGCAAGGAAAUGGACCUGUAAUCAUUGAUUCCAACAGGGUUAAGCUUUUUAGGGAUGAGGGUGAUCAGAGAGGAGUUUAAGCUGAUAAGAUCAAUCUCCCCAUUUUGAAAAUCUCUGCAAACCCUGUAAAAAUCCUUGUCAAUAAUAUCCCAACAAACUUUGAGGAAGCAGCCAUUAAAACCAUCAGGCCCAGGAGCCUUGUCAACAGGAAGUUGCAUGAGGGCAUCAUCAAUUUGUUUGUCUGAGAAAGGUGCUAAGAGGAUAUCCAGUCCCUCAACCUUUUUAAUAAGCUGAGAGAGAUCAAAACAGAGAGCAUGAGGGGCAGAAUCCCCAAAUCUUUGUUUGUAAGCUUGAAAAAGAGCCCCAGCUUUGGCAUCAUGAUUGAUCACAAGGUUACCAUCAGGGAGUUGGAGAGAAGCAAUGGCAUUCCUGCGAUGUCUCUCAGUGGCCAUUCUAUGGAAAAACUUGGUAUUCAUCACCAAAUUUCACCCAUCUGAUAGUACAUCUCUUUUUUCAGUACUGUUGCUGAUAAGACUGAAGUCUAAGGAUGUGAGCUUUGAGAAUUGAUCUGAAGUUCCAUUUAGGAGUGGAGAGACAUCUAAUUUCCUCAAAACCAUCAAUAAAAGAAAGAACCUUGUUGCAGUUGGAGAUAAGGAGAGCCAACCUAGACAAAGAUUUACUCCAAUGCUUGAGGGCCCUUCUAACAUUUUUCAGUUUGGCAUUGAGGAUCAUAUCAGACUUGGAAGCUCUGACAGGGAUAGACCAAGCAGCAACAACCACCUCUUUGAAACCAGGGUGUUGAAUCCAAAAGUUUUCAAAUCUGAAAUUUUUUGCUCUCGGAAUUUUAGAUUCAACAGCAAUGAGAAGAGGGAAGUGGUCAGAAACAGGCCUAGCAAGAGCAGAAGCAGAGGUAUUUGGAAAAGGAUCCAGCCAGUUUGAAGAAGAAAAAAUCCAGUCAAGCUGCUCAAGCAAAGGAGGAUCUUGCAUGUUGCUCCAAGUGUAAACUGCACCAGCAAUAGGAAUUUCAGAAAGGGAGAGAACUCUGAUAAUGUCAUUAAAGAGCCACAUAUCAUCAAUAUUACCCCCCCGGUCUGUUUCUGUUUUCAGGUGACCUAAUGAAGUUAAAGUCACCAGCAAGAAUCCAAUUAUCGUCCGAAGAAAUCUCUAGUGCAUACAACCACUCAACAAAUUCAGUUCUUUUGUCCCAGAGCAAGGACCAUAGAUAUUGCAGAGCACCCAAGAAUCAGCAGAUUGAGUAGAAUUAAAUCGAAUCACAAUCGCCCAUUGCUCACUGAAUAAGACUGUGCCAUAAAAAAUGGCAUUAUUCCAAAUGGUGAUUAACCCCCUAGAGUUACCCUCACUAGGAACAAAAGAAAAUUUAUGAAAUCUUCGAGGGCAAAAUUUUCUGAUGUAGGAGUGAUCAAACAUUUUGGUUUCUUGAAUGCAAAUAACAGAGGCAGCAUUCUCAUUAAUAUGAUUACGAAGAGCAGUGUGUUUAUCACCCAAAUUGAUACCCCUAAUAUUCCAACACACAAUAUUCCAACUUUGAACUAAAUUAGACAUGAAGUCUGACAGAGAUUAUAAGCCUUAUACACUGAACCCAGACAGAAUAACAGUAGAAGUUUUUCACACGACAGACUAAAAGAUCCAUAGAAGCACGCCAAGCAAAAGGUCAACCAGUACACACACAUAACAAGAAACACUAGUUUCUCUGUAGGAGGAGUCUGUCUUCAGUAAUCUCCUCAGGAGGGAUGCCACAAACAUCAGUUCCCACCUGUUGAAGUUCUUCCACCGAGAGAAAAGCAGGGAUAUUCGAAGAGGAGCUAGCCAUGUCAGGAAUCAUCUGAGGUUUGACCUUUGACUGUCUCUUCUUGACAUCAGAGGGCAUGUCCACCUUGAAACCUCUGUACAUAUUGGGUAUGGGGCUUCUUCUCAAGCCAGAGGAGACAAGUGGGGUAGAGCACUUAGGUUUUCUACCUGUUUUUCUGCCAGAAUAAACAGGAACAACAGCCAGAGAGUCAUCUUCAUCAGUUGAAAGAGCAGGCUCCUCUUCAACAAUGUCAGUGUCAUGUUGCAAAGAGGAGGCACUGUCCAAGAUGGAAAGCUUUCUCACAACUCUUCCGAUGGGCAGCAGGUCACAGGGGACAGUGUGAGAGCCCAAGGACAGGUCAGAAAGGAGAGCAAAUUGAGGCAGGGAGGAACUCCAAAGGGAUCUAGCCCCCAAGAACAAGUUGGGUUUCAAAAAGUUGUCCACUACAGCACUGAUAACAGAGAUAUGACCCAGUCCAUCCAUAGGCACAGGUUGCACAUAAGGAACAAUAUCAAGGCAGACAGGUAAUUCUAGUUCCAUAGCAGGGGUUGUACCAGGGCAAAAGCAACCUUCAGAACUAUUGUCAGAAAGGAGAUCAUUCCAAGCAGACAUGGGACUAUCAAUCACAUUGCCAGGGGGAACAAUGCCAUCAGUGAAUUUGAGACCUUCAUCACGAAGAAAAGCCUGAAAGUUAAUCUGCCCCUGGGCUGGAAGCACAAAAUCAUUGGGAAGAUUUGCCAGCAUAUGCCCUUGACCACCUAUCAUCCCCUGUUGGGUCAGAAAUUGAUUUAAUCUUCUCUGAAAGCGUUGCUCAGCAGUCUCGUAGGGACCAAACAUGGGGUGUGGCCUACCAUCCGGUGGAGGAUCAUCUUCAGUAUCAUUAGGCACAUCAUGCAUAUGACCAGUCCAGCUAUCGUUUCUGAGAAGAAAGACAGGGACAGUCCAAGAAUGGCGAUGCCCACCAAGCUCCCUUAGCACAAUACUUUGGGGGACAAGUCUGUCGCUAGCAAUCCAGGCACGAACAAGCACCCGAGCAUAUCUGUUUCGUGGACCCUGCCACAGAGCAAGCUUACCAAACAAGGAAAUUGUCUUCUCAAUCCAGUACUCUGUCAUGUAAUCCAUAGGAUAGUUAACCAACAUUACCCACUUAACUCUACCCACAGCCGGAACACGCCAAUUGAUACCCUCAUCAUGCUUGACAAAAGUAGCAUUGUAGAUUCAUCUAUCUCAAAAGUUCGACCAACUAAAGCAUCACGAUCAACAGCCGACCUAAAGCCAAAAAGGCCUAAAGCAAUGGCCGAGUCUUCAGCAAAGGUGACCUCAUAGCCAGCUAGCUCAACCACAUCAAUCAACUGACCUCUUAACUCAUCUUUCAUGUGAAUUGGAACAGCCAGAUUGGUUUCCGCCAAAGCAUACAACUCAUGAGACAGGGACGGAGAGCUAGAGAGCACCAGGUCAGCCCGUACCUUGCGUCCAGGAGGUCCAUGAUCGAUCGCCAUCCCGUGAGGAAGGAAAGGGAGAGGAUUCACCGUGUAGUUCGCCAUGGAUUUCUGGACAAUCGCCGACCCCGGAGGUGGUUUUGAGGGAGCAGAGCUCGAGGAAGAUGAAGAGUCCUUAAUACGCCAGACCAAAAUGUUGGAAAUAUGCCCUAGAGGCAAUAAUAAAUUUGUUAUUAUCAUAUUUCAUUGUUCUUGAUAAAUGUUUAUUGCCCAUGCUAUAAUUGUAUUGAUUGGAAACUCAAAUACAUGUGUGGAUAAAUAAACAAAUACCGUGUCCCUAAUACGCCUCUACUAGAUUAGCUCGUUGAUUAAAGAUGGUUAAGGUUUCCUAACCAUAGACAUGUGUUGUCAUUUAAUAACGAGGUCAUAUCAUUAGGAGAAUGAUGUGAUGGACAGACCCAAACCUAAACAUAGCUUUUGAUCGUGUCACUUAAGUUUAAGUUGCUUAUGUUUUAUUAUGUCAAGUAUUAUUUCUUUAGACCAUGAGAUCAUGCCACUCCCUAGUACCGGAAGAAUACUUUGUGGGCAUCAACCGUCAUCUCGUAACUGGGUGAUCAUAAAGGUGUUUUUCAGGUAUCCCAGAAGGUGCUUGUUGGGUUGUAUGGAUCAAGACUGGGAUUUGUCACUCCUUGUGACGGAGAGAUAUCUCUGGGCCCUCUCGGUAAUAUAACAUCCUAAUGAGCUUGCAAGCAUGUGACUAAUGUGUUUAGUUGCGGGGGUAUUAUAUUACGGAACGAGUAAAGAGAACUUGCCGGUAACGAGAUUAAACUAGGUAUGGCGAUACCGACGAUCAAAUCUCGGGCAAGUAAUAUAUCGCGAGACAAAGAGAAUUGGAUACUGGAUUAAUUGAAUCCUCGACAUAGUGGUUCAACCGAUGAGAUCUUCGUGGAAUAUGUGGGAACUAUUAUGGACAUCCAGGUCCCGCUAUUGGUUAUUGAUAUUUGAUCAUGUCCACAUGUUCUCGAACCCGUAGGGUCACACACUUAACGUUUCAUGUUGCUUGGGUUAGAUGAGAUAAAUGAUGAUGAUAUCGAAUUAUGAUUCGGAGUCUUGGAUGGGAUCCUAGACGCAACGAGGAGCUCCGGAAUGUUCCGGAGAUAAAGAUUUAUAUAUGGAAAGUUGUUUUCAGGGUUCUGGAAAGUUUGGAAUAUUUCCCGGUUUUGACCGGGAAGCUUCUAGAAGGUUCCGGAGGGAUCCGGAGGGUUCCACCUUGAGGCCCACCUAUCCCUGGGCUAAAUGGGCCUGUGAGGGAGCACCCUGGCCUUAAUGGGCCGAGGGGCUAGCCCACAGGGCCCAUGCGGCCAGGAGGAGAGUCCUGGCCGCGGGAGAGUCCUGGCCGCAUGAGAGUCCUGGCCGCCGGAGAGUCCUGGCCGCGGGAUAGUCCUGGCCGGCCACGCCUCCUCUACCCCUAUAUAAAUAGAAGGGGGGGCAAGGGAGAGAGACACCCCAAGCUUUCAGUUGGAUCUCUCUCCCCUGAGCCCUCCUCUCCUCCUCUUCUCACGCGCACGGCGUAGCCCUGCCCGUGAGAAUAUUCACCAUAGUCACCACGCCGUCGUGCUGCCGGGAUCUCGUCUACCUCUCCCUCUCGCUUGCUGGAUCGAGGAAGGAGGAGAUAACGUGAAGCUGAACGUGUGGAUACCAAGGAGGUGCUGUCCGUUCGGCACUGAGAUUGAUCUCAUUGAAAGUUCCACUACACCAACAACGAUCUCGUGAUCGUAACGCUUAGCGGUCUACGAGGGUAUGGUGUUCAUGAUCCCUCUCGUUACAUACAUCUAGUAUAUAUAUUCUUGGGUUUCUUCCGCACUUCUCGUAGGAAAUUUUUUGUUUCCUAUGCAACGAACCUAACACAAAAUUCCUUUAUUUUCUUUCACAAGCUGACGUGGACAUCCAACAACAGCGUGUCCUUUCUUGUUGCAAUUCUGACAGCGUGGGCUCGCGGUACAUGAGGCGGCUGGGUGUCCCACCGUCAGGCACCGGACACAGGAGGAGUUAGACAUCUUAGGCUUCCAGUAUUUGCCCAUCGACCGUAACGGAUUCGCGGCAGAAUCUCUUCCGUUUGAACCACCUGGGGUACUGGAAGACGGGGGACCCCGAGCUGGGCAAGAGGCCCAAGUAUGGCCCACUUCAAAGCAAAAUAAGCAAGCCCUAGAAAGCCCACAGGUUUUACGUGUAUGACCUGGUCGAAGGCAACGUCCACAUAAAUUAGCCUUUUCCAUGCAAUCCUGCAAUUCAAAACGCGAAUAACCCGCGUCAGAUCGUGUAACAACUCCCGCGAAAGCUGCGGGGCACCAAACCGAAUCAGCCAGCUAACCGUCGAUGAUCGCCGGAGAGAACAACGAACACCACCAACCAGGAAAGAGUCAUCUGAAACUGACGAACUGAGAAUUUCUGAACUUUUGGCUUGAUCCAGCUUAGCAUUAUCUCUGAGAGGGACUAAAUCCGGACGAAUGGCAAUGGGCUUGCUUUUCAGAUUCAAAAUAGGAUCAAGAUUCCUUAAAUAAAAAGGAGUACCAUGAUUUCGAGAAUGAUCACUGGACCAAUCCCCUUGGGGAUCAGAAUGCUUAAACACUGCAGAAUUGCCAUGAUCAGCUGGUCGAACAUCGGGACCCUUACCCAAAAAAUCAAGCCUCUCAAAGACAGUCUUGAUAGGAAUAUCCUGAUGAGCACUGUUUGGUGGAUCAAUCCUAUUGAAAACCAAUGAGGGAGAAACAACAGAGCCACUGAAUAAGGAGAAAAUACAGUAGAAAUCUGGACAUGAAUAUGAGUCAAGUGCCCGAACGAAAUGUCCAACUCUGUUGCCAACCACUAAAAAUCUGAAUCUGUGAUCACUGAGGACUGACACACGGAAAUCUUCUGCAUUGCCUCCCAACAGGAUUGAAGAGCCAAAGAAACCGAAUCCACAUCUAGAGGAAAAUUGAAACGCUUGAAAGAAACCACGAGGAAGAACUCCCUAUAGGAAGGAGAACCUCCAAAACCCACCGAGGAAUUAAAGCGGCGACACACCUGAGCGGACACCCGUUCUCCAUAGGAGAAAUCCCAGUGGAGAAUGGAAUCCAUACGGCCAGAUCAAGAGAUCAGACGAGGAGAGCACCGGAAUCGCCAUUGUCGCCAGGGGAGGUGGGAGAGAGAGCCAUCGAGGGUUUCAGGGUUUUUAUUUAAAUUGAAACGACAUCAUAGAGUUGGGGCGCGGAGAGCUUGUGAGGCAAUGGCGGAAGCAAGGAACAGUGGACGUUCCUUCCUAAGUAUCUUACCUGUCAAGUGAACUCUUUUUUUUGUAGCAAGUAAACAAGGUAAAUGUUGAUCCGUAACGCCCAGGUAUCUUUCCUGCCUGCAAUAUUAUCAACUAACUUAGCUACAUUAAUUCCCAUAAAGAAAACUGAAAAUUUCGGCGUCACCUCUCUUGUUUAUAUGGAGAUCGACGACAAGCUAAAUAAACAUGCACAAAUUCAUAAACUGUCUACUAGACUCCAUGACAGAAACUUAAUAAUCCUCAAGCAACCUAUGUGAAAUGGUUCUCUAUAGGGUACGAUCCUAUCUAAUCCACACGAGUAUAAGAUGAUAAGUGAUGUUUAUGUGAAGUGAUACUUCUCCUUUCCAUGCAUGCUAUGUUCGAAGUACCUGAAAUCCAAAUAAACUCAACAAGAAAACAUGUGUGAGUAGAUUAAUCAUCCAAGUACAUUGGGGAAAAUAACCAUUAUGAAGCAUUAACUUAAGAUAAACUACAACAUAAAGCUGAAAUAUCAAACAUGUAUGGCUGAAGUUAAUAUUUCCGGAUUUGACACAUCAUGUGUCCUUCCCUGACUGGACUAGACAUAUUUAACAUUUUCACCGGUCCUUGCCGGAUUAGUCCAAAACGAAAUAACAGGGAAACUGAUGAUGAUCACCGCAAACAAAAAGAACUCAACGAAGAAGUAAAUCCAAAUUGAACCUACUGGAUGCAAGAAUACAAGUUGAAUAAGAUUGCACAAUCUAAAGUGACCGCACACCAUAAACCAUAAUAAACAUGCGAUCGUCACGCACUUGCCUCAAAUAAAAGAAGGCGUAGAAAUUCGACACACAAUGGAAACCGUAUAAAUAGAGGCUCAUCAGGUACUUGCCUAAAUUCCCGUAAACAAUCAACUAGAUGCAAGAAUACAAGUUGAAUAAGUAUCUUUUAGGACUAGUGCAAGGACAAUCAAGAGGUAAACAUAAAAGCAUUGCUAUGGCCCUCAACAAGACAUUGAAAUCCCAACAUCCUUCCUUUACUUUAUACUCUGAAACAUGUUCCGGAGAGAUCUGUCUUUAGGUUAUAAAUCUGGACUCCCUUCCCCAAAUAAUGCAAACAAGCACAUUACGAUGAUCAGCAGGAAAUUAUCUACAAUUUUCAUGUUGUGACCAACACUUAGUUCUGCCUCAAACUAGGCGAAUUCAUACCAACACUUUGUCUUCUCCAGUCUCUCUUCUUGUUUCCUCUUCCCAAGCUGGCUCCUGAUUCAGUCGACAGAGCAACACAGCAGCAAAGCUGUUGGCUAUCUUACUUCCUCCCUGCUACCUCCCAGUUAAUGGUGGCUCAGACGGGAGGCAGCAGCACAAAACAGCGGCGGGAAGCGGUAGUGCGGCGGCGGCGGCGCUGGAACUAUAGCGGCAGGUUGGCGGCAGCAACGGUUUGGGGAAAAACAGGGGUUUAGAGGUUAGGGAAGGUUACGCCCAAAGUGUAAUUUGCUGCGUUGGCUUAUAGGACCGGCUUCUUUUACAAGUUGCCAUCACCUAAUUUUCUGGAAAAGCCGUAUCUCAGAUUCAGCUACGUUUUCAAAGUAAUUUAGGCCAAACUAAUUUGGUAGCCUAAUCAAAUUUAGACGCCGGCUUCUCUAGGAAGCUGGGAGAGAGCGGCUUCUCAAAGAAGCCGGUCCAGUAAACCGAAAAGAACUGUCCCUUUAUCUGCUGCAAUUUUUUUCUUUCGAAAAUUUAUCUAGUGGCUGACAAGAAAAGUUGUAAGAAUAUAUCAUUUCAAGUUCCAACUUUUUUGCAAUCCUAUAAUCAUUUCCGAUCAACUAGACGAGACAAAUCCAACCAUGGCCUCUGUUUUUUUUCCCAGACGAUUUCUAAUUCAGAAAAUCAAACUUUGGUCAAAUGUGUCAAUCCAUGUCAAAAGUAAUCUUAUAAAUUUUCAGGCUAUUGCAUGAUCUGUCAGCUGAUAUAGAUCAGUCCAAUAAAUAUAACCGAUGCCAUGAAAUAGAUGGAAAUUGUUAUUUUGACAUGAAAUCAUUAGGUUAAUUGAUAUGUCAUAAAAAUGAUUGAUCUUGAUUGAUUCUGAUUUUUCUUUACUCAAUUUAAUGACAAAAUACGUCAAUACACUUCAAAAUGAACUGAUAUGUUUUCAAUGUAUCAGAACAGUCCUCAUUGUGACUUGUGUACCUUGGAACAAGGUGUUUUACUUUGAUUCUGCAUACAACCAAAGAAAAGCAACGAAGAACCGUAGGGACAACUCAGCCAUGAAGAAAGCUAAUGAUGAUGCCUAUUUGCUAUUCCAGCAUGAGAAGGAGGAGCUCUUCUUUUUACAUUAAAAUGUAUCUUCGUUGAUUAGUAAUAGCAGUUGCAUCUUGGAUAAGAAGAAAUGGAAUGAAGCUUGGGAGAUUCUCUAGCCAAGUAGAAGAUCAUUCUCCCAUUGUUGCCUAGCAAAUUCAUGCGCGACGCUUGACUCGCUUCUCUCGAGAUGUAUUCAAAGCCGACAUCGUCUAUAUAUAUGAAAACACCAAGAGACGAAGAGCGUCCUCCCUGUUUCAUUGUGUUGAUCACCUCGAAACAAUCCGAGUUAACAAUCACAUCAUUGCAUCCGGCUGUGAGUGACAAGAGAUCAAAUGUCAGAGAUUUUGCCAUCACGGGUGUCACAUCUGAGCAACAGUUCAAGUUCGGAUUUCCAGCAGCAACAAAUUCUCCUUUGCUGUCCCAAAGAAUUGUAUACACCAUUCCAGACAUGGCAUCAACAUCAAAGGUUGAAUUGACAUUCAGCUUAACAAGUUCAUUAGGUGCCUUUCUUCAGCCGUCGAUGCAUCUUGGCCUUCAGAGAGUGGCCUUACAGUUACAGGUGAUUUGUCACUAGUACCUCGAUAGACAUCACGGUGCGAAGAGGAUCCUGGACACCUUCCUAAAUUAUUUUUGAAGGCAUACAUAUGAUGCUAUUGUCAGAUACUAUUUUACAAUAUUCAUAUGCUAGCUAAGUUCUUUCAUCGAAUGAACCUAACUUGUUAAUAUUACCUGUAAGACUAUGAUUUUAAAUCUACAUGCUAUGUUUUUUUCCCCGUGAUUGCAUGAGACCGACAAAGACCAAGUAAUGUGGAUAAAAUGUAUAUGCACGAAAUUGCGUUUGUAAUAUCAUGUUGUAAAUGUUUACGAGUGACGGCUCUUUGAAAAAUGAGCUUGAAAAAUACGUCAUUGUGAAUGUGCAAUUGUGCUUCCUCGGUGGGUGGUUUCACUAAGAGGCUCUAUAGGUCGAGGGCUGCACAACUAGAAGUUUUUUUUAGUUACUCUCUCCAUCCCUUAAAGAUUGACAUAUUAGGUUUCAUUAAGACAAACCUUUGACCACAAAUUACUAUAUCAAGAUGUGUUUUAUAUGACAUAAAAUUAGUAUCGCUAGAUUCGUUAUCGAAAGUACUUAAUGAUACUUGUGGUUUCAUAACAUAUAAACCACAUUGUGGUCAAAGCUUUGUCUUAAUGAAACCUAAUAUGCCAAUCUUUAAGGAAAGGAGGGAGUACUAUAUAAGCUAAUUGUAGCCAACAUUUGACCGCGACAAUACUAACCGGUCUGUUUGGCUCUACAAUGAGCAACGACUUUUUUCACGUUAACGUAACUAACUCUACCGAUGGGCUAGCCCAUACUGACGCUCAUGGCACUCCCGAUUUUUCAUGGGCAAAAUCCAAAAGCCCGUGAGACCUUGAAAUCGAUCUUUAGCUUGUCCUGGAGGGGUCUCAUUUGACAAGUGAAACUCAGCCAUCGCUGCCAUGCAAUCUUCUCUGACAGGCGUUUUGCCUGUCAAUGGUACACAAUAACAACUAACCAUAAACCACUGACAUCGGCACUGUAAUGUACAUGCCCAGUGAUAGAUUAUUUUAUAGUAGUGUUGUCCAAUAUUAAUUGCAAGAAUAAUAAGACAAUAUAUGCACCUAUCAAUUAAGAUGUGUAUGUCAUCCAUACACAUCUUGCCAAACAUCAAUGUAGAGUUUUUGUUUCGCAACACCGCUUUGGUGUUCAUCCACACCUACCCUCUUCCCCUGACCGUCGUGUCGUACAUGCCUCCCCUCCCCUGCCAUCGCCUCUCCUUGCUUUGCCACACAUUGCCUUGUUCCGAUGGCGCCAACAGACCUUCUCCCCGCAGGGGGAUGCGAUCUUCGACAGAGGAGGCCGAAUCGGAUAUCGAUGCCACCAGGGCAUUCCUAUGGCCCGAAUCGAACAAAUCUGCUAUGUCAUGGAUCUGUCGCUGCGUGGGAAGGAGAGGAGUGUCGGCCAGCAGGAGGGCCCGCCACCGUCACCCUCAUCCCGGUGCGCCUCCAAGCUCUAGGAGGCCGUUGGGUAGUCAACGCCACCGAGAAGUGAGUUUUUUUUUUUAAAAAACACGCAAACAAUUAAAAUUUCAAACUAAAAGCUAGAAUCUGAAAUUUGAUUUUUUUUCCUUACGACCCCUUGAGGCCGGGUUCCACUAUCAGAAAGAUAACGGAACAACAAAGAGGUUCACACCACACACGUAGUUCUCACACACUUGCUGCCCGCGGUUGGCAAGAACGCACCCCAGUUGUCCAGCAACAGAAAGAAAAGGAAAGGAAGUUUGUCGAGUACAGACGAACUAAUGUCACCAACAAAAGCUCACAUAGCUGGAAGUUUGAAACAGAAAAAUUCAACAUCCCCGCGAUCUCUCUUCACAGAACCUGCUCUUGGGUCAGUUCGUCUCCCCACCAUCAACCAUACCGCUUGUUAAUCUCUUCCAGUCAGUUGCAGCUUGCUAGGGUGCUGACGCAGCGCUUCUUCCUGCAGGAUCCUGGCUCUUUCACGCAGAGCAUCUCCAUCGCACCAGUCUGAAGGCCUGCCCAAUAUUUCAGAAAUGCACAGGCAUAGCAUAUCAAUUCCGCAGGAGAUCGAAUCAAAUGGUGCUCAAAACAAGCUCUAUUUCACAAUUUCCACAUUGCCCAGCAAAUCCUGCCAAACCAACUAUCUGCAAAUUACAGCCGAGUCUUAAAUGACUCGGGAUCCAAUGGAAAUAUGUUGAAAAGGAGAACGGUCUAGUACCAGCCCCAAUAGCAACGCCCACAAUCCCCCAGGUGUAUUUAGCCGCGGUGCAAGUAAAGAAAAGGUGAUGAAUGGUUUCAUUUUCUGGACACAAACGACAGGUGAUAUCCCCGCUCCAAUUCCUACGAAGCAUAUUAUCUUUGGUAGCAAUGUGCCAUAUCAGCCAUAACCAGAUCUUAAGUUUUAAUGAGAUUUUGGCCUUCCACAAAUGAUGGAAGGACCUGACAGGGCCCUGAUUGGCCAGCAGAUUAUACAUAGUUUUGACAUUGUAUUUACCAUUCUUGGGCCAUAUCCAAAGAGGUUUAUCCUCCUCCCCAUUCACCCCCAUGCCCAUUAGUUUAGAAUUCAGUCUCGUAUAAUCAUAUUGACAGCUCUCAUCCAACAACCGCCUGAAGGUGAGGCACCAACGUCUAUCCGCUAUCUCAGCCACAGAACAUCCAACAUCAUCAGAUAUGUCAAAGAGCCUAGGGAAUUGGUCCUUCAGUGGAGAAUGCCCACACCAGGAUUUGCCCCAGAAGUCAGUUCUUCUCCCCUUCAGAUACAAUGCCCUGAUAUGGAGCAAAUCUUUCCAACCAGGAGAAUCAGAUUGUUUUCCUUUGAUAUUAUGAAUACCCCCCCCCUUUUAAGAUAUUUCUUAUCUAUAAUGGAUUGCCAAAUACCAGAUUCAACCUCCAGUUUCCACCACCAUUUGCAGAGUAGACUAAUAGUAAAAAGCUCUAAGUUCUUCACUCCCAAACCACCUCUAACUUUUGGCUUGCAAAUCAACUGCCACUUGACUAGAUGGUAUUUCCUUUUGAGACUACCCCCUUGCCACAGAAACUUCCUCUUGAUCUUAUCAAGCUUCCCUAGAUUGGUUUUAGGUACUCUGUACAUAGAAAGAUGGUACACUGGUGUUGUAGACAGGCAAGCAGAGUAACUCUCCCCCCAAUUGAAAGUGCCCCCCCCCUUUCCAGCCAGCCAACUUUUUCUCCAUUUUUUAUUCCAAAAUAGACCAGUUAUGUACAAUGAUUUUAUCUACACUAACGGGCACCCCAAGGUAUGUUAUAGUCCAUGUCCCUGCCUGGCAAUUGAACAUGUCAGCAUAGCAUUUUGCUUUAUCAUUAUCCUGAAUAAUCAUCAUUAUUUCACUUUUUUGGAAAUUGAUUUUCAGACCUGACAUCGGUUCAAAGUAGUAAAGAAUCAAUUUCAGAUUUCUAGCAUCUUCCGUAUCAUCCCUGAUGAACAGAAUGGUAUCAUCUGCAUAUUGUAGGAUUGCAACCCCUUUAUCAAUCAAAUGUGGUAUCAAGCCAGUCAAUCUUCCAUUACAUUGUGCAGACUGAAUCAUUUUUGCUAAGCAUUCAUCAGCUAAAUUGAACAGAAAAGGGGAUAGGGGAUCCCCCUGUCUCACUCCUUUAUGGAUACCAAAGUAUGGUCCUAGUUCACCAUUAACUUUCACACUCAGAGUGCCAUUAGAGACCACAAACUUAAUCCAUCCCAGCCACUUGUCACUAAAUCCCUUCAUCUGCACACACUACAAUAGGAAUUGCCAGUUCACUUUAUCAUAAGCUUUUUUGAAGUCAAUUUUUAGGACAAUCCCCUACUGUUUCUUAAUCUUGGAUUCUCUCAGGAUUUCAUUCAGAGCCAACACCCCAUCCAUAAUAUUCCUGCCUUUAAUGAAGGCACUCUGACAGAUGUGUAUCGACUUAUGCAUAUAUGGACAAGCCUGAUAGUCAUGCUUUUCGAAAAGAUUUUGAAUAAAACUUGUAACACGCAGAUAGGCAUGUAUUUCUGAAUUGUAUCAUCAUCCUCACCCUUUGGAAUUAAUGUGAUGAUACCAAAAUUAAUUCUACUCAUGUCCACAAUACCAGCAUGAAAGUCAUUAAACAGAUUAACCGUGUCAUCUUUAAUGAUAUCCCAACAGGAUUGAUAAAACUCAAUGGGAAACCCAUCAGGGCCAGUAGUUUUACCUUUCUCCAUGGAAUCUAUUACCAUUUUAAUCUCCUGGGCAUCAAAUGUUCUAUCCAAGUCAUGUCUAUCCUCAUCAGAUAGUUUUUCCCUGGCAUCCCACAUCUCAUUUCUAAGUUGACAGUUAAAACCAUCAGCAGGGCCAAACAAGCUUUUAUAAAAAUCAGUAGCAUGUCUAACCAAAGCAGGAGUCCCCUCAAUCACAUCAUCCCCUCUGUGCAAAUUAUAAAUGAUAUUUUUCCUCCUCCUCCCAGCAGCCACUCUAUGAAACAAUUCAGUAUUAUUAUCUCCUUCCAGUAACCAAUUGGAACAAGAUCUUUUCUACCGGUAUUCUUCCUCCCCUUCAUACAAUUCCAUGAGUUGUGCAUUAAUAUCCCACCUCCUUGCCAGCUGAUCUACAGAGAGAGGUUGGAUCUCCUCAAGAGCUUCCAAGUCUUGUAAUUCCUCAAAAAGAUCCUUUUUCCUUUUAAUGUCAUAGCCCCUCACAUUGUGUCCCCAGCGUUUCAAGGAUUUUUUGGAUUUUUUCAACUUCUCUUGUAUUAUCCUCAAGCUAUCUUGGGCAACAGUAUUUCACCCCCAAAUUUUAACAAUUCUAUCUCUAAAUUCAGGAAGUUUACACCAACUAGUAUUAAAACGAAAAUCUUUCCUUUUGAUGUCACUAUGUUCCAUGUAUCAAGAAGUAGAGGAUUAUGGUCUGAGAUUUCUCUCACCAGUUUCCUGACAGUCAUUAAGGAGGAACAAGCUAUUCCAAGAAGCACUAACAAGAAUUCUAUCCAAUUUUUCAAGAGUAGGAUUCUGCUAGUUAUUGGACCAAGUAUAUUGUCCACCAUACAUAGAAAUUUCUCUCAAAGCAUGUGUAUUAAUAAUGACAUUAAACAACCUAAUUCUUCUAUCUCUCUUAAGACGUUUAUUUUUGUCAAAGGCAAAUCUAAGAAUAUUAAAGUCCCCUCCUACUAGAAGUGGUAGACUCUGGUCUCCACAAAUAUCACCAAGUUGGCCAAAAAAACCAUCAUGUCAGCCAUUUGAGCAGCACCGUAAACAAUCACAAUGUGGUAGUGGUGUUUCAGCUUCUUAUCCAAAACCCGCACUUUAACAUGGUACCUCCCCUUAGAGAACUGAAUAAUGUCAAACCUAGAAAAUCUGAAGCCUCCUAAAAUCCCUCCAGAUCUCCCCACAUAAGUUCCCCAUUUCCAACAAAAUUGGUUCAUAGGAUCGAUUCCUCUAAAAAAGGAAUCAGAAAAAAACUCUUCAUUGUCUCCUGUAUCCCCAAAAAAUCCAGGUCAAAAUCUCCAAUUAAACCUCUGAGAUAAGCACUUAUCCCUUUCUUCCCCACCCCACUGCAAUUCCAAAUCAAAACUUUCAUAGAUAUUUGGAUUUUUUCUUGCGGUUCCUAGUAGGAGGCAGCUCCUCACAUUUGUGAGAAGCAGAGUCAGACGUCUUAUUAGACAUAUCCAACUGGCUCCUACUCCUUGGUGCAACUUUAACAACAGAUUUAUUUUUCUUUUUGGUCUUCCUGGAUAUGACAGGAGUAAAAUCUUCCUGCUCUAUAUGAUCAUUUUCCCAAUCUAACAAAAUGACCUGCCCAUUAGCAAUUGGUGCUCCUUCCUCCACUACUUCCUCUUUUUUGGCCCCCAAAUUAUGUCUAGCUACUUCAAGAUCUUGUAAUAAAUGUAUUUUCUCCAAAUGCAUGUCAUCCAUAUCAAUGCCAAUUUCUAGAGCCCUAUUAAUCAUGUCAUCAUCAUUUAGAGCAACAAAUGAAUUAAAAACAGAUAAGUUGGUACCUUCCAGAUUUCUGGCAGCUUAUAAUGUGGGAGCUCUGGUGUAGACCCUGGUGUAGUUACCACCUUGCUCCCUCAGCCUCUCACUGAUCCUGACCGGAGGCCUCUGAACAUCUCUCCUGGUAGACUGAUUGUGGUCCACAAUAUUCAUCUGAACAUCCACCUCCAUUGCUUGUAUAUGAUCACCUUCGAUGUAUGCCUCUUCAGAAACUCCCUGAGAAAUGGGAAUCUCAGGGUGUGAAUCAAGCAUCUCAACCUCCUCGGUAAUCUCAGAGAUGCUAAAUCUCCCUGACCACCAUGGGCCUCUUCACCAACAACAGCAGCAACUUCACUUUCUCAUUUAAGAAAUUUGAAUUUUUUUAAAAGCUUCAAAUCAAAACGUUAGUGUUAUUUUCCAUAAACGGAAUACUUUCAACAGGAAGUGAAACCACGAGCUCGCCGCAGUACUGACGAAAUAUGCGGUAAACAGCAUAAUUUUUCGACAGUCCGAUCUCCAUAGCAUGGAUUUCAUCUAAUCCGUGUGAUUGCAAACGGACGGUGCAGAUGGAGAGCUCUGAAAUGUUCGUGGGUAAGCCUAUAAUUUGUCUGGUACACGAGGCGAAGAGAGGAGGAGGACUGGAGGAGCGCGUAGUACAGACGCACCGAAACGGCAAACAGACGCGCACCCUCUCUCCCUCCCUCCCGUUCUCUCUCCCUUUCCUAAUUCCUUCGCCCGCCUCCUCUCCCCUCGCCUCGACUCGCCCUCGCGUCGGCGCCUCCUCCACUUCCUCUCCCCCCUCCAGAUCCCAGCGCCCCAAAAGUAGAACCCGCCAAAACCCUAGACCCCAGCUCGCCGCUCGCUCCCCCCCGCCGUCCAGGACCCUAGCACCGCACCCCCGCGGUCGCCGCCAUGGCCGGCCCGUCCGGCGCCGCCGCCGCCGCGUCUUCCUCGUCCCGCGGAUUCGAAAAUAACCGCUUCUACAACCCGCCCCACGUCCGCCGGCAGCAGAAGCAGCAGAGCCAGGCCCAGGCCCAAGGACAGCUCCCGUCAUCCCCGUCCCCAUCGCCGUCGCCGACGGGGACUCCCAGGACGGCGAGGCAGAAGCCCGCGCCUCCUGCCCCGGCAGAGACUACCGCGGUUGCCCCGUCCAGGGAGGUGGACAAGCGGGUGGACGCCACUGUAUCCCCGUCGGUCCCGUCCAAGCCAUCCGCCACGGUGAAGUCCGCCAAGGCAGAGGUGGUGGGUGCAGCGCCGGCGGUGGCGGAUGAGGCGGGGAAUCUCGAGAGGUUCCUCAGUUCCACCACGCCUUCCGUGCCCGUGCAGUAUCUUCCCAAGGUUAGGAUUCUAAGAAUCUGUUCCUUGGUAAAGUAGUUACGUGCUUGGCUUUGCUGUUACGGGUUGCAGUGUGAGCGUGUAAAAGUGGCGGCAGCUGUUAACGAUGAGCAGAUGUAGCAGAAUAAGAGCAUGCAUUGUUGGAUUUUAAGUCGUGGGUGGCGAAGAUUAGUUUCAUUUUGAUUCGAUGAUGGUUAUUAUGACUAGGGAAGGUUUGUGAACCGUGAUUAUGGAAAAGUAUACCUACCUUGUUUCAAGUUAAACUAGCAAAAAUGUUCCAGCAAAGUCUGACAUAAUGUGCAAUAAAAGAUUAAUUGCUGAUACCUGGUAAGGUUACUCAUUUGUAGAAGAUAUAUGCUAAGGUCUUUGUCCUGCUAGUGCUAGUGAAAUCCUCAAUCAGUGCUUCUUUCAAAUUAUGUUGUUCUUGAUAGUUUGUUUUAUUUAUCUUUCUUAGCUUUAGGCAAUGGCUUGUGCUACAGGAAAGUGUUGACUAGGGAUGAUAUUUUCGGGCGGAUAUGCUUUAAACUGCAGCGUAAUUGAAAUGCCAAAGUAUCAAGAUUUGUUUUAUUUAUUAUAUGUGCAAUUUUUUUUCUAAAUCUAAAUUUGGACGAGUUCUGGGUUGCGAUUCAGCCAACCUUAGUCUCGAGGGGUGGCGGAUGGGUAAACACCUUGUUCUAAAAAAAGAAAUCUGUGCUAGGCAUUGUUCUGUUGUUUGGAUCACUAAUAUGGUUUCAGGAAAGUUUGAGUUGGUAUUGUAAGGAAAGAAGUGCUUCCUAUGAGAAUUAUGAAAGAACAUUAUGCUUUGUGGUUCUUAUUUUGUACUGUUUUAGUUUGGUUGUACUGACAGAUUAGGUAUUAUCCAGAUGAGCAUGAGAGGGCGAAGGAGUGGUGAUGCUACAAAUUUACGUCCGUAUUUCUGCCUUGGAGAUCUCUGGGAGGCAUUCAGUGAAUGGAGUUUCUAUGGGGCUGGUGUACCCCUUCUGUUAAAUGGCAGUGAAUCUGUGAUACAAUACUAUGUGCCUUCACUUUCUGCAAUACAGCUAUAUGCUGACCCAUCUAGGCUUUCAACAAAUAUUAGGUAAGGAUAUGUUCCCAUUGCGUUUUCACUUUGUUCUAAUGAUUACUCUCAGUUGUGCCUCUGUUUGUCUGUGUAUCGUUGAUUUUGUUGGAUAAACAAUAUGAACAUGAUUUUUUGAUGGUUGGCGAACCCUUCAAAUUUAUGGUUGAACUUCUGCAUUGCUCUUCUGUAGUGCAGACACUGCCUCUGCUAUGUGCUAUAUGCACUUUACUAUUAGCUCUCAGAUCUUGUUGACCGCCAAAUUAAACACAGCCUGUUCAGAGUAAUUUACAUUUGAACCAAGUGUGUCAUACACACAAUUUGACUUGAUUGCCCACAUCAUGUUUUUGUCAAGGAAAUGUGAAUGCUUUAACUACGCCUGGUUUUUAUGUUAAUGAUCAACUGAAUGUGACGUAUGGGCAAUGUGACAGACAUACGGGCUUCUCUGAUGCUGUACUGGAGUUUUCCAUCAGAUCAUUUUGUAUUACUACCUGCAAAAAAAAGUUCUUUUUGUAUUAUGGGGCUGUUUGGUUCAUGCCAAAACUUGCCCUACCAAAAAAUUGGCAACCCAUGUUAUUUUGGUGUUUGUUUGGUUGGUAGCCAAAAAAUUGGUUGCCAAAAGAAUCUUGCCAACUUCUUCACAUCUUCACAAAUCUUGCCAAAUUUUUGGUCAACCAUGGGUUGGCAAAUCCUUAGCCAAUUUUUUGGCUAGCCAAUUGUUGGCAAAAUUUGGCAAGGCACAAAUAGUCAAGAACCAAACAGCCCCUACGUCUCCGAUAAUAGCUAGAACAAUUGAUUAGUUACUGCUCUGGAGCCAUUUUAUUUUAGUGAUUAGAGAUUAUCAUUGGAAUUAUGAAAUGUAGUGUGGUAAUAGUUUAUCCAUCUUGCAGUUAUUAAAAAUUUGUAUAUAUCACAGCAGCACCUCAUCAUCUGGGAGACUAAUAGAUCAUUAUUUAGCUGUGGCCAGAUUUUGUAAGAGAACUUAAGUAGCGGUAUGGUUAUACUUAUUUGUAAAUGAAAACAAUGGUUCAUUUUGUAUAAUCUUCUUGAUCAAUGUUAUUAACUUUGGUUCGUGUUUUUUGAUUAACCCUAAUUAAUGUGUCAGUGCCAAUAAAGCUGCACUUAGUGUGUGCCUGCAAACAUUGUCCAGUUAGGAAAAAUAAUAACUAGAGCAAUUAAUACUCGUUCUGUCCCAUAUUAGAGGUCUUUUUAGUUUUCUCAGGAUUUCUCAUCUAACAUGUUUUAGAUGCAGUUAAAUAAAGCAUGUAUGCAAUGCUUUCGGUUUCACUCGGGUGAUUAAGUAAAGCAGAAAAAUUGCUUGCUGGCUCCUAUGCAUGCAUGCGCAGUGCUCGCUGGUUGGCUGGCCAUGAUGCACGCAUUGUUAUAUCAUUAAUGAGCGAAGGGGAUACCGAUGAGGUCUCUUGAUUUUUGUGCCACCGGAAUUAAUGUUUGUUUAGUCGACCCGCGCACCUGCAACACGUCCUUGGUAUUCGAGAAAAAUCUAAAAUGACCUCUAAUAUGGGAAGGACAGAGGAGGGAGUAUUUGGCAACGUUUUGUCUUAUGGGCCGUUGUGCAGCCUGUGGUUCCUGUAAAAAUUAAUUGUUCCUUGGAUUUGGUUAAACCAACAGUAUAAUUUGUGUGAUGCCCCGUUGUAUUGCAGAAGCCGGGGGGGGGGGGGGGGGGGCGGGGUGGAUUCUCAAACAAGUGAACAAACCCCUCUUCUGCCCAAAACCUACCCAUGCAUUCCGCUGCUGCUGUUGCUAGUUAUUAUUGAGGUUCUGGGGUUAAAGCUUUGAGUUUUGCUUGCAGAAUUAUGCUUUGUGUGAUCGUAGUUUUCGGCAUUGCUGAUAGAUAUCGGUUAUUUUAGAACACAAGUGACCGAUAUUGAAAUAUUUUAGUUAGAUAUUGUUCCAUAAAAUUGUGUGAUAGAAAUGCUUGCACAGUUUCAACCGACUGUAGAAACUUGAAGAUUCACACCCAUCAUAUCCUAUGUAUUUUCAUUGGUUGGCAUGAAGAUGUACUUGUUGACAAUAUGAAUUGAGUAAAUGAAACUUUAACGUUACUUGUUGUUGCAUAACAGUCACUAGUGCCAAACCAAUCUGCCAUUCUAUAUCUGGGAUUAUCUGUACAUUGUGAACAUAGAGCGGAAAUUGGGUAAAUGAGCAUAUAACUGUGUAGGUUUAACCGUUCUGCUCAACUUCCAUAUUUGAAAUGCAAAGACAACUUUGGCUAGAUUGAGUAAGAUAUUUGUUGAGAAAUGUACUCCCUCCGUCCCAUAUUAAGUGACUCAAAUUUACCCAAAUAUGGAUGUAUCUAUGCCUGAAAAGCGUCUAGAUACAUGUAAUAGAAAGUCACUUAAUAUGGGACGGAGGGAGUAGUUCUUUUUACCUGUUUGUUCUUUUAGCUGUGUAUACCUCGUCUAGAAUUACAAGAUUCUUGGUAUGGUGUGCUGAUUAUAGCUGUAACGUAUUGUUCCACAUGAUUGUGGACAUAAAAGUAAAUGAAAGAUAUCAAAAUUGAUAAAGAGAAAAAUCAUUGAUUCCAUUUUCUGUAUAUGUUUUCUUCAGUUGUGAUUUUCAUAGUUCAUAACCUUUUACGUAAUUUUCUUGCUUAUGUAAGGCAUCCAUGGGAGCAAAGUGAUGCCGAAUCUAUGGAUACUGGCAGCGAAGAUAGCUGUGGAACUGAUGCCGACAGGUUAAGAGGUUCGCUUGUGGAAGCUCCAUGUCCACUGGAGAAUGGUGGAUUUCAAAGGAAUGAUGGUGAAGUGCAUUCACCAUCCUCUCGUCCAAUAUUCGAGUACCUGGAGAGAGAUCCACCAUAUGGUAGAGAACCUUUAACAGACAAGGCAAGUUUUUUUUCCAUAUGUCAGUAGGAAUGGCUUCCACACAUAUCCUGCUCGUGUAUGCUUAUUCUGUACGUUAUUUCAGGUAUCGAUUCUUGCAAGCAAGUUUCCAGAUUUAAAUACAUUCAGAAGCUGUGAUCUACUGCCAACCAGCUGGAUGUCUGUUGCAUGGUACUAACACUCCAGAUUCUCUCAUUUAGUUUAUGAUGCCUUGUUUUCAAUGGUAGCAUCUGCCGCCUUUUCAUUGUCUUGGCAGCAUUCUGUUGAGAUUUCGCAUUAUAAAUAAUAAUUUCAGACUAUAUAAUUUUAGUCUGCAAAUAAUUAGUUCUGAUCUGUAUGACUGCACCAUGUUUACCUUUAUAUUCCGCUCACCAUCAAUUGCCUCAUCAGAUGUUGAUCAAGUUCUGUAGUAUUUCAUGUAGUUUUCUUGAUGUUACGGCAUGGACAUUGUGAUGAUAUCCUGAUGUCGGACCAUGCCGAAGGAGCAGCACCAGCAACUCAAGCUAGCCGGACUGUCAUAUAUGUGUUUUAUUCCAAGAUCUAGAUCACGCAAUGCAGCAAUAUGCUACUAUGUCUAUGUGGGAAAUGUAACACUGUGACAUGUCAAUCACAUAGGUUACUGCACUUGGCAGCAGCAGGGCUUAUCUUGGCAUCCAAUGAAAUCUCCUAACUGUCACCCUGAGUUUAGGAGUUGCUAUCCUCAGUUACUUAAUUGCCUAUCCUUUAGAUUAUAUUUAUUGUUGAGUCCAUCUGUUUGAAGAGGAGACCGAUAUCUUAGAAAUAAAGCAAAAGAAUAAGCAGAAGUUCUCUAGCCUGCUCCCUUUCUGGUAUAGGCCUUAGAACCUCUCUACUGUGGUAGGGAAGAGCCCAUCUAUCGGCUAGAUGAGGGAAUGCUUGGGCACAUGCCAAGGAACCUUAGGUUUUGAGUUUGAACCUCUCCUCCCCACAAUUGUUUAGCAGAAGUUGUGGCCCCAUGUGUGGUCUGAGUGGAAGGGAAGGAAUGAACCACUAACUCAAAACUUCAUAAUUAGUACAGGUAUGGUGUAUCAACUGAUGCGAAGGGAGCCUCACAUUGCUGAAUCUCAGCUAAAACAACUGUGUAGAGGAGCAAUACUUGCAACAACGUUUUGCAAUGAUUCUUCCUAUCGAUUUCAUCCUCGGGCUUACAAUUGCAGGUACCCCAUAUACAGAAUCCCAACUGGACCAACACUCAAGGAUCUCGAUGCAUGUUUCUUGACAUUUCAUUACUUGGCAACACCUUUCAAGGGUAACCACUCACGUUUUUUUUUUUUGCAUCUGUUGGUUCCCUUCAUUUAUAUAAUUCCAUGUGACUUACCUCAUCAGUUAUCUGAAUAAUUACUUGUUUUCCCUGCAGGUAUUGAUCCUAGCACACCUGUAUGCCCCAGUUUUGGGGGCAUCAACCACUGCGUGAAUGCAGCUGGUAAACUAACACUGCCUGUCUUUGGACUGGCGCCUUAUAAAUUGCGGAGUUCAAUUUGGUCAUCAGACAGGCCUGAGCAGCAGCAGCUUGCCACCUCCAUGAUGCAGGCAGCUGAUGACUGGCUUCGCAACCGGCAAGUUCAUCAUCCAGACUUCCGGUUCUUUCUUAAUCACUACAACACAGUGUGGAGAUGACAGGAUGCUGAUUCCCCUUUCGUUGUAAAUGAUCAUUGGUUUCUUUCUGUUGAUGCCUCAUCCGGGCUACCUGUAACUUUAUGCUGAUGGUCGUGUAACGUAGCUUCAAAUGCCCUGGAACCUGUUUGUCACUCAUCUGUUUAACGCCAGGCAGCUAAUUUGUAAUGUCUUCAAUAAACCUUUUGGUGUAGGCGAACUGUUCUUUGGGGAACGGUGUAGGUAAACUUUUGAAAGCAAAGAACAUAGUGGGAGAUCUGUAGUACAAGAAAAUAAUGAUUAUACAAUUUUCAUUUAGGUUACCAUGUUUCUUGCGCUGUGCUUUUACACCCCUUGAAUCGUUAAUAUUUCCCCGUUUUCGUGCCAGAGUGUAAAGAGCGAUAAUCGUCCUACUUAUGGAUAGAGAUGAGGCGCCUUGGGACCUCGUUCUCGGCUCAGUCAUCACGCUCCCUGCGCGAAAUUUCUCGUCCAUUUUGAAGCUUUCUCAUAUUUUCUUUUGCUCAUCCGUCGUUCUCGUGCACGCAUUCAUUUUGCCCCAUCUGCAAGACUGCAGAGUGGUUGAUCGAGCCGGCUCGGCUGUUUCUGAAGCUCUGUUGACAACGCUUGACUCAUGAGCCCGCCUCUUCUCCGAUGUUGUGCUGCAGGAACUGAUCGCAACGACGUGCUGGUGCGUUUAGUCGGAGAGACAAGCGGCGACGGACGUGCUGCCCUCGCUAUCUAACAAUUUCAGAGCCCUUAGAGCAUCUAGACCCGCGCCCCCCAUUUUGGCGUCCGGCGCGGCUGAUUUUUAGGACGUUUGGAGGCGCCGACGCAAAAAUAAAUUUGGGGGCCCACCGUGACACAGCCGUGGCCCCAAUAUCAAAUCCCCAAAAUUAAUUUGGCAAAUUUGAUUGGACACGGCGAAUUUAAACUAAACACAGGCAAAUUUAACUGAACAUGGCGAGUUUAUUACAUAAUUCGAAAAUUUAAAAACCCUAGCCUAGUCUUCAUCGAGGCAGGUGUCAAAUUCCGUCGGUGUCGUCAUCCUCGCUGUCGAGGACGAUCACGCCAGGCUCCUUCUUUAUGGACGGCUUCUUCUUUGCCGCCUUCGCCGCUUCGCGCUCGCUCCGGGCGAGCACCAUGUCUACCAUCAUAUUGAGGCCGAGGCGGUGCGGUGCACCUCCUCGGCCUCUUGUUGGCUGGUGCGCUGGCGGCGCCACCAGCUGCCUCGGGAAUUCCUCGGGGUCGCCGUCACUCCGGUACUUGAGCGCCCGGUGCUCGUACUCCUCUUCCGGCGCCCACUCCGGCUCCGGCUUUGGCCGAACAAGGCAGAGGUGGCCGUGAGGCUGCAGGAGGACGAUCCCGACUCUUCCUUGUUGCGUAGCGCCGAAGAGGAGGCGUUGCGGGAGGACGAGCCGGAGCCGGAGGAGUGGCCGGCCAGAGAGCGGUGCCGGCCGGACGGAGGCACCGCUGUUACUGGAAUCUGCAGGCGGGGACGAUCGUCCUUGGCGAUGUGCUCCAGCAGCGCCACGAGCGUACGCCGAACCAAGAACCUGUGCCGCCCGUUGAUGUUGUGGCGCGGCGGGCGCUGGCCCUCGCCCUCAUAUCGGGCCAUGAGGGCGUCGCACUAGUCGGCGAACAGGCUGGCCGCCAUGCGGUGCCGGUCUACCGGUUCCACUCCGGCAUCUCCCCCUGCGGCGCCAUCAGAAGUGCGCAACAGAGCCCACCUGCCGGUGGGUAGUCAUGCUUGCACAGCGCAUCGACCUUGGGGAGCGUGAGGGAACGGUGAGGCCAAUUCUCGUCGCUGGUGGCCAUUUUUGGUGGGUGAGAGAGAGAGAGAGAGAGAGUUGGGGGCGAGGAGAGAUGGCGAGGAAGACGGGGGCGAGAGCGAAUGGCGUCCACCAGCGGCGAGGCGCUACUUUUUAUAGGAGGGGAAUACAGACUGGCGGGAGGGGUGAACACGACGUUAUUGCGUCGAGAAUACGUUGGGACGCGGCCGCAUUGCAACCGGCGGUCAUUGACCCGGCGAACCGCCAUUACUCGCCUCGGGAGCCGAGGAGAUGUCGGUGGGAAACCGGUGAGAGGGUGAUUAAUGGACGCUUAUAGGGCAAGCCCGCGGCAAGAAUGCGAGCAACCGCCCCCCCCCCCCACCCCCCAGUCGCCUCCCAUUUGGUUGGGUUCGGCCUGAGAGGGCCAGCUAUUUUAUUGGGCCGCGCCGGCUCAAAUUUUCAUUUUGGGGAGGCGGGCCGGGUGAGAUUUUUGGCGCCACGGCCCCAAAACUUGUUUGGGGGCCUUUUAGGGGGGCUGCUGGAGAUGCUCUUAGCAAGAAGACUGGUAGUCGCGGUUCUAUGAAACUUAAAGAGGGUUAUGUCAAACUCAACGUUGAUGCGGGGUUCAAUGAAGAUGCAAGCACUGAAACUAGUGGCGCGGGCCUGUGCUGCCACCAUGUCACCUUCCUUCUUGGUUGCCGUUUUGGACUCUAGAACAUGGCUGAUGCCUCUUCUCCAGAACAUGGAUUGGGGUCAAGUAGGUUGUUCCAGAAUUUGUGAAUAGCGACUGCCGACUGCCUCGAGGUGAUUGAUAUAGACAGGUAGUGAGGAGGUCAUCCCGAGCCGUGAAAGUAGGACACUAAGGAAUAGAAUGUCUUGUGUCUUGUAGAAUAGCCGUUGUAUGCUAAGGAAUUUGGAAAGAGUCCUAAUUGGUUAUCACUUUGGGGUGCCUUCCAGAAGCGCAAUGUCAAAGGAAAGUUUAAGCUGACGGCGACAAGCUUUCAUUGGUUGUCGUAGAGGUGUUCCACGAUCGUUUUGGAUGGAGACUGAUUACUGAGGGGCUGUUUGGUUCUUGACCAAAUUUGCAGUACCAAAGUAUUGACAACUUAUAUUAUUUUAGAAUUUGUUUGGUUGGUAUCCAAAAUUUGGUUGUCAAAAAAAUCUUAACAAGAUCUUCACAUGACCCUUCACAAAUCUGGCCAAACUUUUUGGUAAUCAUGGGUUCGAUACGCAAAAAUUGGUAGGCCGGCGAACUACGCGUCAUGUCUGCUCCGCUUCCUCCUGCAUGUCCCUUCUUCAUUAUUUUCUUCCAGAAAAGGUAGGGGUUAAACAUCAAACCCCGCCUAGUCUGACAUGAUGAACAACUAGACCUCUCGUGGGAUUUUCUUCUUCCCCCUCGCUCCGUGGCUCGUCUUCCUCCUCGCGCGAGCGACGCCACCCCUCCCUCCCCGUCCCGGUGCCGAGCGCCCCAGGCCCCUAGCUCGUCUUCCUCCUCGCGCGAGCGCCUCCACCGAGGUUGAUCUCCCUUUCCAUUGUCUCUCCCCCGACCGUUUCUCCUUCCAUUGCCCCACGAACGGAUUCCGCCCUCUAGCUCCCCGUUUCAUCUUCCCCAAUUCAUAACUGAGGCAAAAUUCAAGGUAGGGCGGUACUGGGUCCUCCGCCCGUGGCUGGUACCAUGGUUCGGUUAUUCCGUUUUGCUUGCGGCUCAGAGGAUCAGAUCUUGUAAAGGUCCAAGAUCUCAGUGGACUCCGCCCCUGGCUGAUUGAGUUCUAGAUCUUCCGUAGUGUUGAACACCCUGGAUGAUUUGAUGUUCCGGAAUUAGAUUCAUUUUUUAUUUUUUAUUGUUUCUGGUUACAAGUAGGAAAAAUAUGAGGGGGCUGGGCGGAUCUUUGGUCCAGCUCGCCUAUAAGAAAACUGGUGUCGAUUAUUGAUUAUGAUAGUUCUUUUCACCUAGUUGAAGCUCGCUUUUAGGCAGUUUGGGAUGGAAAAUAAUCGAAAUUUGAUUGGUUCUGUGAAUAAGUAGAGCUCACGUGUUUGUUCUUCUGAUGCUGUUUCACUCUGUAAAUUGCUGGUCAGUGUUCCGUCCAGCAGAAUCCAUGUUGAAGAUGCGGUAGGAUUUGAUGCCUUUUUUCAAAUGAACGGAUAAUAUUUUGAAAUAUGAUGACAAUUUUGACCUAUUUCCUGUAGUUGAGUUGGGGAAGGGUAGAACUUUCUGUUAGUUCAGCUAAUCCAUUGAUGUGUUCAUUAUUCUGCCAUUUGGUAUUGCACUAGCUCAUCACAUCAUACACGCCUAGCUUAUGGUUGAUUUGCUUGAAUCUGAUUCCGCCAAUACUUGUUAACCUGUUUGUAUUACCUUUUUUUUUUGGCGAAGAAGCUGUUUGUAUUACAAAGAGCUUGGUUUUGGUGUUUCUAGAAAAAUAAUUUGUUUCCGGUGCAAUUUAUUUGUGUUCUGCCUCCCUUGGAUCUUACAUUUUGGAGCAUCUUCCUUAUAGAACACGUAUCAUUCUCUGCUAAAUGCGCUUUGGUUCACUCCAUUUCCGAUGACUGGUUCUUCUGCAUUCUCUUUCGCUCUCUUUCUCUUCUUGAUGAACUUUGUAACGUGAGAAACUGUGGAUAUAAAUUGCAUUAGCCUCUGGUGUAAGUUGAACAUUGACUUGUAAAAUAAAAGAAGGGAGUAGUAAUUCUUUUUCUAGGUCUGUCAGGAUUCAAUAUUCUCGUCUCAAUUUGCUCUGUGAAGCUUAUGCUUGUGAAUUGUGAUGGUACUUUACUGCAAAUGCAGGAUUUCAAGGAGGAUAUAGAAGCUGUGGCACAAUUUCACGUGGAAGCAUGUUGUCAAAGAAAAUAGAGUUGGACCACAAGGACAUGAUCCAUGAUUCUGCCAUCGACUACUACGGAAAGCGCCUUGCCACUGCCUCCUCAGACUACACAGUGAAGGUCGUGAGUAUUGGGGGUGCAUCAGCCCCAUCCAAGCUCCUCGCAACGCUAAGUGGCCACUAUGGCCCCGUGUGGCGUGUUGCAUGGGCCCAUCCUAAGUAUGGAGCCAUCCUCGCAUCAUGCAGCUAUGAUGGACGUGUAAUUAUCUGGAAGGAGGGUACUGGGGGUCAUUGGUCUCAAGCACAUGUAUUUGCAGACCACAAGUCCUCUGUCAAUUCCAUUGCUUGGGCACCAUACGAGGUAGGACUUUGCCUUGCCUGUGCUUGUUCCGAUGGUAACAUAUAUAUCAUGACUAUACGAGCUGAUGGGGGAUGGGACACUGCAACCAUUGAGCGUGCACACCCUGUUGGUGCAACAGCGAUCUCAUGGGCUCCAGCAACAGCACUUGGUUUACUGGCUAGUUCAGGGGAGGUUGUUUGUAAGCUUGUCUCUGGUGGUUUUGACUCUGUCGUCAAAGUUUGGGAAUUUACCAAUGGUAGCUGGAAUCUGGACAGCGCUCUUCCUUCAGACAUGCACACAGAUUGUGUGAGGGAUGUUGCAUGGCCACCAGUUUUAGGCUUGGCUAAGUCGACCAUUGCCAGUGCUUGCCAAGACGGGAAGGUUGUCAUUUGGACCAGAGUCAAAGACGGUGAUAAGUGGCAGGGAAUGGUCAUGCACGACUUUAAAACCCCUGUGUGGAGGGUCUCCUGGUCCUUGACUGGAAACAUAUUGUCUGUAGCUGCCGGUGAGAGCAACAUAACACUCUGGAAGGAAGCAUCAGGCGGGCAAUGGGAAGAGGUGCUGAAGGUUGAGCCGUAGGAAUUUUGUGACAGUUUCAUGUUUUUGUGCAUAUGCAUGAAUCAGAAAGUGUUUGUGCUAGCGUUUGCACCAGUGCUCAAUAAACAUUCGUUACCGAUUUUAAUACUCCACAUCAGCAAUUCCGCUUUGGACGGGGUGUGAUUUUAGAAUUCUACACUUUGUGACUGGUACAAGUAUUUGGUUCUGCAUGUGUUUAACUUGUUUCUUGGUCAUGGUUAAACACAACGGCUGUUACAACUUACAGGUAUUAACAUGUAUUACAAUGUACUCUCUCCGUUCCAUAAUUCUUGUCUCAAAUUUGUCCAAAAAUGAAUGUAUCUAUUUCUAAAAAAUGUAUAGAUACAUGUAAGAUUUCGACAAGAAUUAUGGAAUAGAGGGAGUAGCAUCCUUUAUAUUCUGUAUGUUGUCAUUACAUGUCAUAUAGCUUUUGAAAGCAAACUAAAGGUGUCUUCAGACGUAACCGCGACCGGGCAUCUUCCUGCUCCGGCCGCGGUAGUGGCAGGCCUUGCUCUAAAGGGAGCUGGGGGCUUGAAGGUGCACGGGGUUGGACGUUGGAGCAGAGGGUUGCGAGCUCGUGCUGGGGAGUUGUUUUGGGGACCGACGACAUGAAAAGGGCCAUAGACUUUUUUGGCCACAAGUAAAUGUAUGGAUAAACUUAUUGUCGUCUUAUGUCUAGGAUGAAGGAAGUAAGCGACACCUUGAGCAACAAGUGACUUCGUCCAAUACUUGUCAAAGUUUGUAUUCAUAGAGUUUGCCAUUUUAUUGUCAAUCUCAUCUUCAUUACAACACCACUCAUUAAUGAACACCUUAACUUUAGAAAGCUUUGAUAAAAUAAGUUCAGUGUUCGAUAUAAAGUACUUGACAACAACUCAGUAACAGCGAUGAACAUUUUCAAGCAUAUAGAAAGUGUUUAAACCAUUUUCCAAUCAGCAUCUAAUGGUUGUACCUUGUGUAAUCUUUUCGUCAAGACCACAAAGCGUAUCAAAAGGUUAUCUAUAAUAAAGGCAUCAAUUCAGCAAGAGGUAGGUUCAAUUCCACUUCAUCUAAACAUCCACUGAGAUAGAUACCUCAAUUUGUAUCCAACCCGCACUCAGAUGCACAUUUGAUGGAAAUCCUCCCGCCGUGGGGGAGAGCACUUGAGAACCAUUAGAAAUGUUAGUUGCAAACCAUCUAUAGCAACCAGGUUUAGUAUGUGACAGGCACAUCUAACAUGAAAGGACAAGCCAUCACAGGCUAAGAGGAACUUCUUUUUAUUUCAGCAACGACAGCAUUAACGGUUACUUCAUUUGUAGCUGUAUUACCCAAAGUCAGGGAAAUCAUUUUCUUGCCGAUAAAUCCAGGGUUGUAUCGAGGAAUUUGAGGCCCUGAUUCGAAAUGUAAAAGGGAACCUAAAAUUGAAAAUUGUUGCACAAUCGAAGUAUACUUUUAUUAAUUAUAUUAAGCCAUGUGGCCGAACGAGUCCAAACAUGAUGGACACAUACACGAGUUGCAACGGUUUUAGAACCAGCAAUUUUCCCAAAGUGAGCUUCUGCCCGACCUAAACUUAUGUUGUGUCUUCACAUGGUUCCUAAUAUCGGUGUUAUGAUCUUGUUGCGUGUCGUCGCACGGGGCUCCGACACCGGGGGCGUGCUAGCACACCCCCUUUUAGAUUCGGCGGGGGCGUCGGGGAUCGCUCCGGCGAUUGCCGGCGUGGCCGAUGGCGUACGAAACCUGCAAAGAGAUGCACCCAGAAUGCAUGCAAGCUAGGAACAUAUGCACGCACGUUUUACCAGGGUUCGGACCACCCGGAGGUGUAAAACCCUACGUCCUGCUUGUCUGAACUCGUAUUAUCACAAAACCAAGUGUUUACAGGUUGCCGGGUGAGUUCCCGGGUACUCUCUUCCUCUGGCUAAGUGUUCCUUACUAUUCUCUGCUAAUGCUAGAGGCUAACUGUGAGCUGAUCGAACCGAACAGAACCCAACCGAACGUCCAACCCUUUGACCGUUAGCGGGGGUCCUCCUUUUAUAGCCAAAGGGAUACCACAGGUGCCACGGUGCAUGGUUUACAAGUGGCGAACAAGGAGCUUGGGCGACUCCUCCUCGGUGCGCUGGCAUGCAUGCAUGAGCGCCAACCCCGCUGCUAGGGGUCUAGAGCCUAAGAGAAUAGGACUAGACAACCACUGUUUGCCCGACAAGACGGAUAACGCCCCUCCUGUCGGCUUAUUAAAUGCGUCGUGCGGCUCACUCCUCGCCCUGGUGAGACUGCACACUGUGCGCCCAGCGCGCAUCCACGUGGCGCCGUUGCUCUGCUUGCUCGGCCCCGCCCACACGAUGGGAGCCUGCGCCCGGGAACCCCUCCUCCCGGCAAGUGACUUCCCGGGAGGCGCCCAGGUGGGACUGCGCCCGGGAACCCCUCCUCCCGGCAAGUGACUUCACGGGAGGCGCCCAGGUGGGACUGCGCCCGGGAACCCCUCCUCCCGGCAAGUGACUUCUCGGGAGGCGCCCAGGAGGGAAUAUUUUCUGAAGUCCCGCUAGCCCUUCAAGGCUGGUAGCUUGCCGGGCUGCUUGUAGUUGCUAUCCGGGAUGAGAUCCUCCCGGGAACUCGGCGACGAGGCCCACGCGUCGUGCAACGGUGGUACCCCGGGUGCCACUGGUGUGACAUUGCGGUUUGCUGCGGUUCUGCAAUUGCUACUCCUUGUGGACACUUGACCACCUAUAUAUGCGCGGCAUAGCGGUUGCAUCCUAGUCUCCGAGUAGGACUCCAUGACGCGUUAGGCUGGUCUCCAGGUCAUGUAUCCUUUACAAAUCAUCCAUAAGGUUUUCUUAUCGAGGAACUUCAUCACGUUACCAUUCCUUUAUUUCUUAAACUUGGAGCUCAAGCGAAGGCGAAAGGGCAUUAUCCUACUCCCUCGGGCAGACCAAUUACAGUCUUCCUGAGUUUGCUAACAACUAGCUUAUUCGCAACCCUCUUGGUUACUAUUGUGCUCAUGCUUGAGUGUAAUUUUACAUGCAGAAUUUGCGGAUAGUGAUCGUCAAGGGAUGAAAUAUCGCUACCUCAUAAUACUUGAUUUGUACUAUAUGGGGAUCAAGAGUAAGAGCAUCUCUACCGGCUCUCGCAUAUUCUGAACCCGAAAAACGCGUUUCGAUGAGCUGAAUCUGUGUUUUGGGGUGCGAAAAAGACCCGGCCAGAACAUAUCCCUCAAACCAGACCGAAAAACGAGUUCCGUGAGGUUUGCGGGAUCUGUUCUACCCGGGCUUGCAAAACCGAAAAUACGCCCACCAAAAAUAGAAAUCGACACUUCGUCAGUUCACAGUUUGACAGUUCACAAAAUACUUGCACAUCACAUGAAAGUUCAAAUUAAGACAAUCAAACGUUGUUGCCUUCAGAUGGAGCAAAGGUAGCAUCGCUAGCGGCGGCGGUCUCAGUAGCGGCGGCAGCGGCGGUAAUGGCAGCUUGAGCAGAGGUGGAGGCUGCAACUUCGGCAGCAGCGGCCGCGACAGCUUGAGCUUGGCGGCGACGCAACAUGAUGUCCUCCAUCUUCAUCUGCCACCAGUGUCGGCCGAGUUCAUCAAGGCCGCUAGGAUCCAUUGUCAUGACUCUUUUCUCCUCCUCCUCCAAAUCCUUUGCCGCUUUGGCCUCCUCAAUUGCAGUCCGCGGUGCAUCAAUCUUUCCCCUCUCUUCCUCAAUUGCAGUCCUCCAGGCAUCGAUCUUCAUUCUCUCUUGCUCCACUUCUUUCACCGCUUGCCACUUUUCCAAUUUGUGCGCAUGCUUCUUGCCGGCCAAUGCGAGUUUCACCUCCAAUUUCUUAGCCGCGGUAACCUCUUUUGAUUUCAUCAGUUCAUCAAAUUUGGCCGUCAAACUUGAGGUCUUUCCUUGCUUAUUCAACCUCUCCUUCUCUUUCUUCCUUCCAUCCAGCCUGCGCAGGUUCCUUCCACCCUGCGGUGCAUCACUAAACAUCAUCCAACUCAACGAAGGCCCCAUUCUUCGAAGGUGUUUCUUCAUCCCUCAAUCUCGACUUCUUGCUAUGCUCUAAAACCUUCCAGCAAUGGUACAGUACGAAUGGCCUCCCCUUUGAUGCCGGCAUCUCCUUGUACCUCGCCAUUGCAAUCUCGUCCUUAAAAUGGACAUAACAGUCAAAAUUGUCCAAUGGGAAGAAUCAAACAAACAUGUAUUGACUCAAUUUCACUCACAUAGUCAUCAAUCGUGCACCCACUUGGCGGCACAUUGCGCACUUGCUCCAAACAACCACUCCACCGGCUGCAACAAGUCUUCAUCGUCUCAAAUCUUCCUUAGAGUGACCUCAAUGUACGCGCCGAAGGAACCUUCAUCAUACGAUGAUAUUUGUCCUCGAUCGUUUGCCAAUACUUCUUGCCGGUUUGAUCAUUUUCGGCUGCGGCAUCGAGCGAUACACUCUCCCAUGCUCUCACCAAUGUCACGUCUUUGACUUCGGAGUAAUUGCUCUCCCGCCGAGCGCAUUUAGGUUGGGAUCCGUUGAAACCCCCCUCCUCUAUCUCCUCAAGAUCAUUCUCCUCUCCUCCCCCGGCUCCCUCGGCACCCAAUCCAGUGUCGUCAUAGUCCUCCAAAGGCGCCGAAUCGAUGCUCACCGUAUUCUCAUGCAACAAAUCGACAUACGAAGAAUCGAAAUCGAAGCUACGAAUGGAACGAGGAUCGUUUUAGUGAGCAAGGAAACACCAAUCGGCUACCGAAAUCCACAAGGAUGAAAAGGGUUUGCCUUGUAGGCGUUGGAGUAUACACCGAAGGGGCGUACGAUUGUUGUGUCGGCAGGGCUGCCACCUGAAAGAUCAGUAUGGUCGACUAGAGGGGGGGCGGGGUGAAUAGGAGACUAACACUUUUACUUUUUAUUUUCACUUUUAAGGAUACAAGCAUCAAUACAAUACAAGGGUUCACUAAAACGUCUAAAUGAUGAACACCCCUAGUAUGAUGCGAUAGCCGAAGCACUAGCCGAAGUACAAGAUAAACAAUUAAGCUUUGCGAGUAAGUAAAGGGGUAAGAAUGAUACCACACGGGGAGACGAAGAUUUCACCGGAGUUCCACCUAUUGGGGUCAGUGUACGUCUCCGUUUGGAGGAGUGCUCUACCACAAAAGUAGAGGCGCCACAAAGGCUCACUCUAUUCUCCAACUCACCACACCACAAAGGUGGGAUGAGCUCUCACAACACCACGAAGGUGAGGUGAGUUCCACUAGUGGCUUCUUUGAGGACGAAUGCCGAACCCUUACAAACAAGGAGAAGGGCACAACUCCACAACUUAAUUGGAGGCUCCUUCCCGAAUCCUCAGGCACCUCCUCACAAGAUUGGAGGCCUUGAAGAGACACCUUCCGGCUAGGGAUCCCAAAAUCCCAAGAGUAACAAAAUCCACAAAGGAAACAAGGAGAAUCAACUUUUUGCUUUGGUGAAACCCUAGAUCUAGAUGUCCUCCUCCAAUCCUCAAAGAAUCAACAAGGGGAGAGUUCUAUGGAGGGAGAUAUAGCACUUUGAAACUUUAGAAAUGGUGUGGAGAGAGUUGGGCUUCGGAAAGAUUCAUCCCGAGGUAGGGGAUGACUAUUUAUGGGGGUCUCGAAAUCUAACCGUUAUUCACUAAGUCUGCUAGGAGAGGAAGUUUCGGUCAUGCCCCGGAAGUUCCAGUACCCUGGAACUUCCGCCCUUGUUCCGGUCCAAUCUCCGCCAAACAUAAAUGAAUUCUAGUAGCAUCACGGAGGUAGGCCGGAAGUUCCGGGCUUGGAACAGUCCUGGCAACACAGUUAGACUUUGGGUGGCUCUCUCUCGCACGGGUAGGCUUUAUGUGGGUGCAAAUAUGGUAGUUUGUGUAUGUGAAGUUGAUUCACCCAUUACCUUCCCAUGUGGACUCCCUCUUAAUAGUACGGAGUUCCUACGACUCAAUAUAAAUAAAAAGCCGCUAAACACCGCUACGCUUCAUUCUUUUUUGAGGGCAACAAACCGUCUUGUGCCAUAUGAUCUCAAAUCUGAAACACUCGAGCACACGGUUAGUCCACGAGUCAUGUUGUCAUUAACACCAAAACACUUAGGAAUCGAAAUGCAGAUGGGGGAGGAGGGGCGGGUCCUCUUCCCGCCGCUGCCUUCUUCCGUUUCUGUGUUUUCGCCGCCUGUGCGACCGCCGGCGUCGCCUCCGCCGCCACUGCAGGGAAGUUAGACGACCCGGCCGGGACAACCCCCAGGAUGACCACUUGGCCCUUCCGCUUCCGUUUGGCCGUAGUCAACUCCAAAUUCGGCAAGGCGGCGUGGAAGGCGCCGGCAGGAGAAGGGCGAUGAGGAAGAGAAAAUUGGGUAUGGGGUGCGACCGGCUACCGGUGCAAUCGGUGGGGGACCGCACAUGAGACCCCAUCGUUAGAUUUGGCGACGGCGCGAGGACCGGCAGCGCGACGGGAAGUAGAUCGAUGGCGGCGCAGGGGAAGAAGUGGGCGCGAGCUGAAAUUUCCCUCCCGCCAAGGCAGCCUGUGCGUUUCGGUAUUGUCCGCCAAUCCGAUCUCCAUACCGCCUAUACGGGGUUUUUUGGCUCACUGAUUCGGAGAUCGUAAAAGUUUUUUUAAUCAGGGAGUUUGAUCGGGUCGUUUUUUCGUCUCCGAUCCCGCAAGCUGGCCGUUUUUAUUCGGAUAAGAGGUUCAGUGAUAGUAGCACGUGUACUCUGACUGAGUUGACCAAAAACCAAACAUUCUCCUCCUAUCACAGCUGGGGAGGAAAAAACAACCCCCCUUAUACAACUCGGCUGGCUCUAAUUCUGAUCCUGCUGCCCUUGUGCCACUGAGCAUCUUCCCUUUUGAGUAAGGCGGCUCGGGGUGAUUCUUCUUGCUAUAAAUCAACUGGUCUGUUCAGUAUUCUUUCUACACCUAUUAUUGGUUCCUUCGUCUUUGCUCCGUGCUACAGUAUUUCUAUUUCCUCAUUGAGUACGGUGGUCUUGUGGUGGUUGGUACUCCGGGUCGCGGUUCCUGCAGGCCGAACUCGGGGUCUCUGAUUGCGGCGCCAGGGCUCAGUUGUUCUGAUGAAAUGUUGAUAAUCGGCAGCAAGAGAGGAAGAUACACCGUGAGACCGGUCUAAUUCAGCGAAAGGAAGAUGAGUAGAUCUGCAUCUGUAAGUGCCCAAUUUUGGUCUGAACUUAUGCUGCUUUUAUGUAUCCCCUCUUUCGGAAAGCAUGCCAUCUGAAAGUUUGAAGCAUCCACUUAUGCCUUACUGGAGUUCCAGAAAAUGAGCUCACUUUGCUAGAGCUUAGCAUUGGCACGGUUCUGACCUAAAUGUUUUCUGUAUAGACCUUUUUGAGUUCUGGCAACCGAUGGUGGAAACAUCCCUCAAAAAUAGACGACAUGAAGUUAAAAACCACUUUUAGCACAAACAAGAACUAAAAAGGAAUAAACUAGAUUGCCUGUAUAUGCUUGUUUACUUUGUAAACCUUCGCUAUUCAGAUCCAUUUCUCUAUGCUGUUUACAAUAUUUUUAAUUAUGCUAAACUGUUUGAUAUACGAUGAUUAUAGACACUGAUCUGUUGGAAUUUGAUAUAGAUAUUUCAAGCCCUUUUGGUUUUUACAACCGUUGCUGCUGAGAUCCAAUGGAGCAGUGUAUCUGGCAUGUACUGCAAGGAUUUGACAGCAAGUGUUUAUCGGCCCCACAGUGUCUCAAUAACGGAGUUUGGUGCUGUUGGAGAUGGUAUGACUCGUAAUACAAAAGCAUUUCAGAAUGCAAUCUUCUACCUCAGCUCAUUUGCAAACAAGGGUGGGGCGCAACUUUUUGUUCCUGCUGGAAGGUGGCUCACUGGGAGUUUUAGUCUUGUCAGUCAUCUCACCGUGUCACUGGACAAGGAUGCAGUAAUACUUGGAUCUCCAGUAAGACUCAACAAAUGGUUUUGCAGAUAACAAUUUAGCUCCCUUUUGCAAUGUAAUUUCAGUCUUACCUUGUCUCUGCACAUGAAAUCUUCAAUUGUGUUCACAGACUGAAACAAAAAUGAUGAAAUAACAUGUACAUAUUUUUUUCCAUAAAAUUGUUGGCUAAAGAACAUUCAUGGAGUAGUUAACAAUAACUUAUUUAAAAAAAAAGUUAACAAUAACUGGAUCUCAUAUUUCAAUAUGGAACAACUAAAGUAUGUGCUGAAACAAACAGUGCAAGGAUUGCUACACUGCUACUGUUAUGGUAUUUUCAACAAAGUAUGUUUGCAGGAUUCAUCUGAUUGGCCAGUUAUUGAUCCUCUUCCAUCCUAUGGGCGUGGUAGAGAACUCCCUGGUAAAAGACACCAAAGUCUAAUUUUUGGAUCCAAUCUAACUGAUGUAAUAAUAACGGGUAAGUAUUAUAGUUGCAUCAUGCGCCUCCUCUGGACAUCAAUGACCCUCUGUAUAUGAUCACGUAUUGACCAUAUGUUUUGUUCUAGGUGCGAAUGGCACCAUUGAUGGCCAAGGAGAAAUUUGGUGGAACUGGUUUCACAACCACACAUUGAAUUAUACUAGGCCACCUCUUGUUGAAUUUAUGUACUCCACCAGAGUUGUUGUUUCUAAUUUAACCUUCACAAAUUCACCAUUUUGGAAUAUUCAUCCUGUAUACUGCAGGUUAGCUUUCUAAAUUCUACUUGCUAAUUCGGUAUAUUAUCUAUUAGCACGCAACCAGUUGCGAUUACAAAUUUAUUAUUAAGUGCCUAUGCAAAUAAACAGCCAAGUGCUUGUACAACAUCUCACGAUCCUAGCUCCCAUCAGUUCACCGAACACGGACGGCAUUGAUCCAGGUAUGCCCUUUUUCUGUCUGAAACAUUGAGUGUAUCAUGACUCCCUGAACUAAUUCGUUUUUCUGUCUGAAAUAUUGUGAAGGAAAAAACUGGAAGUAGUAUAGUGUAUGCUGAUGCAUUAGUAUGUCUGUACUCAGAUGCCAGAUCUUCCAUCACAUCUGUGUUUUACGUUGCCUUUGAUACAGUUCCCUGGAUGUUUGAACCACCAGAAAAUUAAAAACCACAUUGAUUAAAUUAAAAUGUUGUUUGCUUUUUAGAAGUCAUGUCAACAUUAGUGUCCUUCAACUAUAAUUUUUCCUUCUUUUUUUUGUUCUUAUCCUUGACUGUCUAUAUUCUCAUAGCAACCAUUUGGUAUGAACGCAAUGUGGUUUUUAAUUUUGGUCAUACUCAUCUCACCCAGAUUCGUCUACAAAUGUCUGCAUCGAAGAUUGCUACAUCAGGAAUGGCGAUGACAUUGUCGUCAUUAAGAGUGGGUGGGAUGAGUACGGCAUUUCAUUUGCUUAUCCUAGCUCCAACAUUAGCAUCCAAAACAUCACUGGGCAGACAAGGAGCAGCGCAGGGAUAGCCCUUGGAAGCGAGAUGUCAGGUGGCAUAUCAAACGUUCGAGCUGUAGGUAUCCGCAUCGUGAACUCGGUGCAUGGGAUCAGAAUCAAAACCGCUCCAGGGCGGGGCGGGUAUGUGAAGAAUGUGUACAUAGCUGAUGUCAGCAUGGACAAUGUUUCAAUAGCCAUCAGGAUCACCGCAAACUAUGGUGAACAUCCUGAUGAUAAAUAUGACAAGAAUGCACUCCCCAUCAUAAGCAAUAUCACCAUCAAGAACGUUAUAGGUGCCAACAUUGGGGUUGCAGGAAUGUUGCAGGGAAUCCAGGGGGACAGUUUCAGCAAUAUUUGCUUAUCAAAUGUUACCCUCAGUACCAAAUCUAUGGAUCCAUGGAAUUGUUCGCUUGUUGAAGGAUACUCAAACUCUGUGUCUCCAGAAAUAUGUGAGGAACUCAGAACCAACCCUGGGCCAGACCAAGUAUGCUAUGAUGGUAACUAUCUAGCAUCAGCAGAAGUACCAUCACAGGCGCCACAGAAGUCGAGUGCUAGUCGGCUGCUAAAUCCUUUCCACAAAUUGGCUUCUGUAAGAGCUUAAUGUCCUCAUAGAUUUUUUUUUGUUGUGCAGUACAUCCUGGAAAUGUUUUUAACUUUUAAGCCUGCCUAUUGUAAUGAAGAUAAAACUGUUGGUGUUCUGUAAUUUUUUUAUAUUCCUGUAUGUAACGGAUUCUUACUUGAAUGCAAAAUCAGCGUGUUCAUCCUAUAAAAAAGGCAGCAUUUUCGUUAUUGCCAAGAAAAUAAAAAUACAUACUUCCUCCGUCCAACAAAGGAUGUCUCAACUUGGAUUAAAUUUAAAUGCAUCUAUACACUAAGUCAUGUCUAGAUACAUUCAAAUUUUGACAAACUUGAGACAUCUUUUCUUGGACGGAGGGAGUAUCAUUUUCUGCUCCAAUUCAGAGGUUGGAAACUUAUCUAUUGACAGCAAAAGUAUUGUUUGGCCAAAUGUGGCUCUGAACUUACUACAACACAGACUAAGGGCAGAUGGCAAAGUAUACUCUUCCUUGUGAUAUUUUUUUCCAGAGUAUACACAAUAGCAAAUUCAACUUCAUUUUUUCCUUCUGAAGUUGAUAAAAGUGCACAAUAAGCAUCCAUCAUGAAAAGAAAAGGAAAAAGAAUAUCUGAACAACCUUUUUGCUUGCAUAUAGGAAAUUGACGCAUCAUCAAAAGGCAAAUGCACUUGAUUUGAUAGUUUCAGAAGGAAUACAAGUUGUUGUUAUUCCUUCUGAACAUCUGAGAGGUACAAAAGAGAUUAGUUCCUUUUCGCUUGUUUAGGCAAGUGGCUGUUUCAGAAAUCCACAGUUUGCAUCUUAAAGAUCCCAAAUAAUCACAUGGAAAAAUAUGGCCAAAUGUGCGCUGUAAAAAAAUGACGGAAGGCGCAACUUAUGUUUUGAACGAUGCAGCUGAGUAAGUUCUAUAAAGUUGUUCUAAAAAGAAGUUGUGCGCCUCCGAAUCUUUGGAAUUUAUCUGUUUGAGAUGAACAACCAUUUGGAAUCACAUGCAAGAACCCAUACAAGUGAAUAAUCGAGAAAAAUAAUUUAAUAUGCAAUUCUGUUCAUAAACAUAAUGAUACAUCUCCAUGGUUGUGUUGGGGCAUAUCAUAUAUCAUGAAAUUAGAAAAUUUAGGUUUGUUAAGGACUGUAUAAGGUAGUAGCCUGUAUGCCAAACAGUGUUGUGGCACAUGAUAAUAUAGAAUUUCAAUCUAGUUCAUAAUCAAGAAAGCUAAUGUGUUUUUUAACAUCAGAUUUAAAUUUGACAAACUACACAUUAUGGCAUUACACAAUAGCAUGGAACAGAAUUGAUUUUCUGUUCACAAGAAAUUAAACAUUCAUCACAAUGAAAAUACAUUAGAAUCGAUAGUUUAAGAAACAAUGGAAACUAGUUAUUUCGGCUUUAACAUGUGCGGUAUCUGUCCAAUGCUCUAAACAUUAGUACAUAUGAAACUUCUCCCUGGUGUUUUCGAAGACUUGCUCAGCAAUGAGGGCUCCAUUGCCUUCGGCCUUCUUUAUCUCCAUGUUGGCUUUCUGAUAGUGCCCAGUGCCUCUCAAAGCAUCAGCAAUGAAGUCAUCAAAUCCAAUGGCAAUGGCUGCUUCCGCCUUGGCUCCAUAGACAAGCCUCUGUAUUGCCCAAUUAGCAGUAGUGUUAAGCAAUGCCAUCAGGUAUUUUUGUAAGGUUAAGGUCCUGUUUGAAUUGAUGGUACUUUUUGUAGGAGCAAAGGAUGAACCUUGAUUCGGGAGAGGUGAACCGCACCGAAGCACAUUGGGCAUGGUUCACAUGAUGCAUAGAUUUCACAAUCUGAGAGCUCGAGCCUUCCAAGCUUUAUGCAGGCCUGAAGUAUGAACAUGCAUUGAAUAUGUGAAAGAAGCAACAAAGAAUGAAUUGAAACUACUAAAGAUUGCAUAAGGAUGUAAGUAUUAGUAAUAGCAGGGCAAGUAUCGCUGACAGUGGGCAUAAGCCUUUUUGACCUCUCUUAUUGCAGUUACUUCAGCAUGUGCAGUUGGAUCAGUUUUCUUUAGAACCAUGUUAUGGCAGCUGACAACUAUUUCAUCGUUACAGACAACAACUGCACCAAAAGGCCCCCCAUCACCACAAUCAACUCCCUUAUAUGCUUCUUCGACUGCUUUUGUUAAAAACUUAUGGUCCCUGUCUUGAACAGCUGUAAAAUUUGCGAAAACUCAAGUUAGUGUUACUCCUGAAACCAAAACAAAUUAGGCAAAAAAUGUGAAAAAUGGACUGGUAAAAACACCACGCAAGCAUGAGAUGCUUGAACUUCCAUUAGUAGCUCGGGCCGCACAACAAGUAAAUCUGAAGAUUAAAAGUUCCAGGUACAGUAAAACUCAUACCUUGAUGAUGACCAGCAAAUGCAGAAGCGACUGAGAUCGUCCCAUCCUUCGACUCCACAACUACAGAAAAGAAAGGCAUAUAUUGAGGACAUGAUUAAUCAAAAGCAGAAAGACCUAGCAGAGAGGAACCUUAAACUCAUGUUGAUUGGUUAAGGCUGCAUUUGUUAUUGCGGUGAAUUCUCAUAAUCCCAUUAGGUCCACCCGCUUUUUUUUCUCUUUAUUGUUUGGCUAUCCUACAUUUUCUGAUUUUCCUGCUUUCGUGUGUUUUUCUCAUGGCAGAUUAUAAAAUGAGUUCAGCGCAGCACAUGUCAGCAACUGCAAACUCAUCCUAAUAACAAAAUUGGUACUCCCACCGCCCCGAAUUAACUGACGUGGAUUUAUAUAAGAAUCUAUACAAAUGCACAUCACUUAAUUCGGGACGGAGGGAUGAAAUGGUGAACUCUAUAGAACAAAGGAUUUGGGUCUACGACAUGUGUAUCUUUCUCCAUUUACUUGAAAAUGUAAUGCCUUACAAGGUAAAAAAAACAUGUUGCAGAAUAAAGAGCAAAGCACACUUGCAAGUGUCAGUCAGAUGUUGCAUUCUUAGAUGCCAUAUGUGUGUUAACGUAACCCAAAAUUAUAUGUUGGCAUAUCAUUGCUUCAUGAUUGUGCGAUAACAACCAGUGCCCUGUUUUUUUUUCCUAAUCAACGAGUUGGCUAGCCUUCGCAAUAUGCAGAACCUUGCACAGGGAGCGCAAUAGUACAUUUGUUGUUAAAAAACAACAAAGCAACCACCAUCCACUAACAUUUGUUUUAGCCUUGAAUGGCAUGAUAUCCUUCCAAUGGCGACAGCAGAGUGAGAUCCGCCUAAUUAAAGAGUCAUUUACGGUAACUAUGCCUCAUUUUUGUAAAAGAUCCUACGACAUUUAUAACUGCAUCCACCAAAGAAAGGCACGUAAAAUGCGUAUGUCGACGGAUUCCAUGUGAAUAGAUUACGGAAUAUAUACUUAGAAACGAAGAAUACACAAUUAACCCAGGUAGAGUUAGGAAAAAGCUUGUUCCAGCAUUUUCCAGCUACAAAACCAGGAUCAAGCACCAACCGAACAUAUACUACUCGUAGAAAAGAAGCACAUGCCAGGCCCAAAUUGCAUUGCAGGUUUCGCUCCUACAAUACCCAGAAGAAAACUCGAGAGACGAAGCGUUAGACCGUGAUUUCCCUUGUACAGGGAUCCGGCAACACACAGGCACGCACGCCGAAAAUCUAAUCCCCGAUUAUCGCGUGGGAAGGGAUGGGAUGGAAUGGAAUGGAAUGGAAGCGUACCCUGGGCCUCUUCCAUGGCAGAGUUCGCGAGCGCGCGCGAGAGAGAGCGAUCCAGGAGCUUUUGGGCGAGGGGGACUGGAGAGAAAGGGCGGAGGGGAUUAGACUUCGACGGUCUGAAAGAUUCUCUCUUUGGUUGGGGACGAUGGCGUGAGCCGGGGGUUGGCGUACCGUCUCGUGCUCGCUUCCUGUGCGCAUAAAUAAGGAAAAGAGAACGCGCGCCUUCGAACGAGACUCUGUUUCUUAUCACUGUAACUCACUGGCAUGUGGGCCGGGUAUAUCUGUCCGUGGCUGAUUGGAUGGAAGGCGUAUCACCGACGGAUCUCGCGCCCGCCAAAGUUCCGUGAACCGGGUCCAGGGGUCGGUGGUGGAUCACGGGGAUCUUUCGUCUCUGCUGCUUUUGCCGCGGUCGACGGUUACUGACACCGGCGCGUGGGCCGCGGGACGUUCUUUCGUAGAACCGGAGCAUGGCUCUGUGCGUAUCCACGUUUUGCACAAGUUCUUAAUCUUUCACUCCCUUCCAAAAAAAAAAACAAUCUUUCGCUGAUACUCCGUAAUAAAAGUUUUGCACAAUGGUGUGUCAUCCCUUCACGUCUCUGGAUUGUUUAUUUUUCUUUUCCCUGCAUUGCAGGAACCACGAGCUUAAUUUCUUCAGCAUUUUUGAUCCUGCGGUUUCGUUGAGUGUUUUUUUUGUUGCCACUUUGCCCCUUUGCGCCAUUUUAAUUUUCCGACAGUUAUUCCUACUCCGUCGGUUCCAUAUGUACUCCCUCCGAUUCUAAAUUGUUGUCGAAAUAUUACAUGUAUCUAGACGUUUUUAAAAAAUAGAUACAUCCAUAUUUGAACAAAUCUGAGUUAAGAAUUUAAGAUCAGAUAAAGUACCCAUCAAGUACUGCAUAAAUUGUGUACUUGAUCCUAGAAUUGCACAUUUGAGAAUGAAGUAUCCGCCCCCGCCGUCAGACCAAGUUUGCAACUCGUUACCAUUUCAAAAAUAUGGAAGGCGGCGAGAUUGCUGUACACUUAUCAGUUAUCAUCUCUUAGCUAAUGCAUACGUGUUAUGUCUAUCUAUUCUACCCUUUGCAAGAGAUAGGCAGAUAAGUGAUAGGACCAUGUGCCUGGCCAUGUGGAACACGUCACCCAUUCAUGCAUCUCCAGCAUGCAUCCUGAUCUUCCAAGCAUACGAGAAAAGCCGGAUGCAGAAAUUAAUUGGAAAAUAAUAAUUAAAAACAGUCCUGCUACAUACUCCUCCGUUCCUAAUUAAUUGGCGCCGGCUGUUUUGCAAAAAAAAUACUGUAACUUUCCGAAAUAAAUUUGCAGUCCACGUUCUAACGGAACUUUUGCCAAAAAGACCUGUUAUUUUUCAAAAUCAACGCGCAGUCCACGUUUAAUUGAAGAUGUGGACUACCGGCGCCAAUUAAUUAGGAGCGGAGGGAGUAUUAAAAUAAGAAGUCAAAGAACCUCCAAUAAAAGUUUAGUGUGGCUAGUCUCUGACGAAAUUGGUCUCUAAAUUUUUAUUUUGUAUUUUUUUGACCUGAUACAUUUGGUACUGAUCCAUGAUAUCUUUUUUAAUGGAAAUAAGGUUGUAUGCAUGUGCAUCCGAGAAUGCAGAGGCCGAGCGGUUUGCCUUCUUUAAAAAGAAUUAAAAACAUAAUCAUUUGUAACGUGACAAGUGGAAUAGACUAAUGAAGAAAAAUGAUUGUUUCUUUUUUUCCUGAGUGGUUCUUAUCAGCACCAAACACUUGUUCAUGCAUAGGGUCACCGGCGGAGCCACCGUGAGGGCACCACGGGCAGGUGCCCAGGCUUCCAGUUCCCGGCGGCGCACCCCAAGGAAAAACAGCGAUUAUGAUGGUGUUAGAUCACCGAAAUCAUGAAAAUUAAGCAUAAGUGCCUAGGCUACAGACUUGAGCUGGCUCCGCCACUGCAUAGGGUUUCCAUCAAACUAAGGACUCCAAAAUCACCGUUAGUUUGACACUUAAGUCGCACUGUCCAAAAAGUAAGUUAAACAUUUUUUUGUGUAUUUCCCCAUGGGUAUGUUGAUAUUAUUUUCCAUGAUUUCUUUGUAGGAGGUUAUGUUGUAACAUCGUGAACAUAUAGAUAAGUUCCAAAGUAGAGCACCAAUUUUGCAUAUGCAAAAUUUAUUCUCUAAUAUUUAAUUAGAAAACGUGUGACUGAAAAAUGAUAUCUUGCAUAAUAAAGAAAAUUGCCUUCUCUUAAGCGCUAAGAGAUUAUCCUGAUCUGACAUAAGACAACCUUCUCUGUCUUCUAACUUAGCAAAAUAUCCACGUGACAUCUUUAGAAAGAAGAUUCCUAUUGUACAAGAUCUCAUCACUCUUUAACGAACAUCAGAUUUUAUCAUGUGUCCCAUUUUACUUUUGACUUUGAUAAUUUGUCCAACCUGUACCACUUACAUGUGGGAUAUGUGGGCCCUUGUAAGUGAGACAAGAUUUGAGCAAAUGAUCAAACAAGUAAAUUUAACUUUCUAGUAGUUUUUAAUUUUCAUGGGAUCCGUAUUUUUUACUUGGACGUGAAGUAGUCAGAUUUACGAUUCAAUCAUGCCAUUCUACUAUUUAACUAUCCAAAUUGGCCGCAUUGAUUCUAUGAUUCUGGUUCGUAUAAUUUAUGUUUUACUAUUCUGAUACUCCCUUCGAUAUAUAAAAAGUGUCGUUCGUUUUGCACCAAGUUAGUACAUAAUUUGUACUAAGUGCGUGACACUUUUUAUGGAUCGGAGUGAGUAGUUUUUUUCUUUUUGAAGAACUAUUCUGAUAGUUAAGAUUCUACAAUUUGUGAUUCUAUCAUAGGUGUUUCAAUCUGAUCUAAAAUGGAGAAGCACCUCUGGGUGUGGUGGUGGAGUUGUAGGUGCACGAUUCCAUCCAUCAGGGUUCAAAUCCUGAUGCUCACAAUAUACGUUAGGGGUUAUCCUACGAUCUUUCCUAAAAAAAAUCUGAUCUAAAAUGACCAUGCUUGAAAUCCUUUGAGGAACUCAAGGACGCCACUGCUGUUGGUCGUGGGGCAAAAGGGAUCCUAUUAUCAUGACACUAAUUUUACAGAGUACAAAAUAAUCUUUGAAAGCAUAUAAGUUCAACUAACUUUUUUUGUAGAGGAACAAGUUCAACUACUCAACUCAAUUCGAGAGUUAGGAGUAACUAACAGGCGAAAAUGAAAAAGAUGGUGCAGAGUGACCGUGGGCCUGGACUCAACUCAAUUCGAAAGCCCAAACAUUAGCACCGUAUGGGCCGGGCCUUUUUUUUUUACAACAUGGACUGAGCCUAGUUAAUAGCCAACUUUACGGGCUUCCCCUAAAAAAAAGCCAACUUUACGGGCAUGACUUGAGGAUUAGAUUUGCUCCAAAAAAAAAAGACUUCACGAUUACAUAUGGCCCUUGCUCCUCUCAAAAAUUAAAAAAACUUGCUUUUAUUAUUUCGAAGGAAAGACCUGUAAUGAUACGCUUCCUCUAAUGAAUGCCGCUAGCUCUAUCUCAAACUCAUCUCCCUUAAAUAAAACCACAGAUAAUAGUUCUAGAAAAAACAUAAACCACAGAUCCAGACAUUACAUAGGCACCCAAACACGACGAACGAAAUCCAAAUACACAAACGCAUAACAACAAUGUCGUCCAAACCGAUCUUCCCCUGGGCCAUCAUCAUCGUAUUCUUCUUCCUCGUCGCCGCCGCGGCAGCAAUUACUACGCCGGCGGCGGCGUCCUCGGCGGACCGGGAGCCGACGUGCGUGCCGACGCUGCAGCGGCUGCUGUCGUGCCUGGACUUCAUCGAGCACCGGACGGACACGAUCCCGCUGCCCUGCUGCGUCCAGGUGAACAGCACGGUGGCCCAGCAGCCGUGCUGCCUCAUGCACGUCCUGCGCGGCGACGUCGGCAGGCUCAUGGGGCCCGAGUUCGACAGCGUCCGCGCCAUGGUCAAUGUCACCACAAAGUGCCUCGGCGACGCCUCCGUCCUUAUGUCCAUCACUCGUUCGUGCGCAGGUUCGUACCCCGAUCCUAAAUUCUUACUCAAAUUUGCUCAAAUAUAGAUGUAUCUAUUCUUAAAAAACGUCUAGAUACAUGUCAUAUUUCGACAACAAUUUAACAUCGGAAAGAGUACUUGCUAAUUUGUGGUUUGAUCGACCUUUGAUCGUACUGAUUUCUACGUUCUUCAGGUAAGCCGCUGCCGCCGCUGACACCUGAAUAUCCCUUCAGUACCGCAUUGCCGGCAACGUCUUCAUCGGGUGAGCAAUCUGUUUCCUGGACAAUUUUGAUUGUGCUCUUUAUAUUAUUAUUUUUUUCCUUUGCAGGAGCUAUCGAUCGAAUAUUGGUUUUGAUUGCUCCUUUUUUUUGUUACCUUUGCAGGAGCUUUGCGGGCAGAAGGAUGGUCUUACGCCUCGUUGAUACUUGCAUUUGUUGCAAUCUUCGUCUAAUGAUUUUAGCGGUCGAUCGGAAUUGGCGAUUAGCUUACUGAAUUCAGAUAAAUCUUUGUAUAUCUACUGCUGAACAUAGUGGAAUUAGGCCUUCUCUUAUUUAUUUUUCUUUCCCUGAUGUUGGACUGUUGAGUGUGAUAAAUAUGGUCAAUUUGUAGUUUCUGAUUUUUUUAGGGAAUUAAAUCUUUGUGUAUCUACUGCUGAACAAAAUAGAAUUAAGCCUUCUCUUAUUUGGACUGUUGAGUGUGAUAAAUAUGGUAAAGGGUUACAUGCGCGCCAACGCACGUGCGUCCUGACAGGUGGGACGGUCAUCGUUAAUGACAGGUGGGCCGAGGAAAGGCGGACCGCUGGGGCCGAGCAAGAGGAUGACAGGUGGGCCGAGCCAGAGGAUAAAAGGUGGGACGAGGCUUCAGAUGACAGGCGGGGCCAGUGUCAUCUUUCCUUAUGUGUGGAGUCUACUUGCUCUCCUUUACUCUCACCCAAAUCCCGACCAGAACCCUAAAUCGGCGGAAGACGGCGGCGGCACUGCGGCUAGUAGGUGUGUAGAAACGAACGGGAGGCGGCGACGGCGAGUACUAACCCACCUCCGUACCACAACGUCGGUAGCUGCCGCCGAUUCGCGGAGGAGAUACUUUGCCGUGGGGAGCCUGAAAUCCGGCCCGAUAUGGCCGAGAUAGUGAUUUCCCGCACCUCCGGAAUGGAAGAGAAGGCGGCGAGGCUGCGAGGUAAAGCCAUCGUUGCUACCAUCCAUAUAGGAUCAGCGCUCAAUUCGCCGGCCACUUCGGCUGAAGAGGUCAUGGCAGCUCUCAAGCAGCGCUGCAACUUCAAAAGGGGAGUGCGCAUCAUGGUAUGUCCUGCACCCGACAACUUUCUGAUUCGCUUUGAUUCGAGUGAUGAUUGCACGGCACGGUGAUGCAAUCGAUGCGCAUCAGGUGCCCUGCCGGCGACAUCUCGUUUCGCCGCUGGACCUCCAUCUUCCGUGGAGAGGAGUCAAAACUGCCUUUUAGCUAUGUUCUUAGCUUGGAUGGACUGAUGGAGGAUGCGCAAGAGUUGGAAUUUGUGAAGAAUUUGAUUAAUCAGCUAGGAGGCGAGUUCGUGGCAAUUCUGCCUAGGACUGAUCCGCGCUGUGUCAAGCUCAGGACAUGGAUGCGUGAUCCUUGUGCCAUCCCGAAGCGGUUGCUGAUGAGAGUGCCUCUUCGGCCACACAACCAGCUCCUCAAUAUGCUGAUGAGCUCAUGAUGAUUCAAUUGCAGCGGGGGCAGAACCAGAAACCAGACGUGCUGUGUCGUUCAACGUCAUCAUCCACGUCCAUGAAGUGGUCGAUAGGUUUCAUCUUCUUACUGAUGGUUCGGACCACAACAAUAGGGACUACUCUGAUUCUUCUUCAGAUGAUGAAGCUUAUCUGGACGAUGGUGGUUCUGGAAUAAGGCGAGGAGAUCUCACUCGCCUCCAUGAGUUCCCCUGUUUUGCUAGCGCUGUAGAUGGCUCAGGUCCUCCAAAAGGAGGGGUUAAUCCAUGUUGAUUUUGAUGUAUGUUGUGUAUGUAUUAGUUUGUUGUCCGAAGACUACCUAUUUGUACUGAUCAAGAGCAGGUUGUUGCUCUUAUCUGAACCUGUGCAUGUACUGUUAUCGGCACUUAUCAUUUCCUAUGAAUUUCUUUCGCAAUUUAACUUCCUCCAGAUUGAUUUCUGACUGCACAAAUAAAUAGUGAAUGGAAAGUUAUGCAAGAUUAUCAAAUUUCAAUAUGUUUUGAGAAGGUUGACUUUUAUUGACCAGGAAAUUUAUAGCGACAUUUGGUUGUCCUAGCCAGGCCUGGCUAACGAGCAUGCUCGACUCGUUAAGAGCUCGGCUCGUUAUGCUCGUUAACCUUAACGAACAUCGAAGCCUGUUCGGCUCGGUUCGUUUACUGCUCGUGAGCGCUCGUCGGGCGCUCAUUAAGCUCGUUAGUGGUGAAAAAAAUGGGCAGCAUCUACGCAGAAAAAAUGACAAGCAAAGCAUGUGUACAACAUUAUAUAAUAAGUCCAUAACAGAUAAGACUAAUAACCAUUACAGGCUACAACAUAAAUACUCAUAAGAGUAGUAGCAAUUACACAGCUUCGGUGUCCUCAUACAGUACAAUACAGAAGCACUAAUAAGACUAAUAUUAGUUUGACGAGAGUACGAGACUCUGGACCCGACUGACCUAACGAGUCUUGGGCUUGGCCUGUUCGACCUAAAGAGCUUAAGGGUGUGCUGCGCCUAAGAAGUCGUGGGUUACUAUGUUUGGUUCGACCGCCAGACGUCAGAUAACGAGCUAACGAGCAUGCUCACGAGUCUCGCUAGCUUGGCUCUUUAAAUUCUUUAGUGUUAACGAGUUUCAAGAGGUGCUCUACUCAACUCUUUAGUCUAACGAGCCGAGUACCAAACGAGUCGAGCUACUCUCCGAGUACCGAGUAAAAUGUUCAGGCCUAGUCCUAGGCCACCAAAAUGCACAAUUUUGGAGGAAGCUUAGAAAGUGAAUUCGCUCCAAAUUGAUUUCAGACUGCACAAAUGAAAUCUGAAUGGAAAUUUAUGCAAGAUGACCAAAUUUCAACUUGUUUUGUGAAGGUUGACUUUAGUUGACCAGGGAAAAAAUAGCCACAUUUGGCUGUCCCAGCACACCAAAAUGGCUGCAGUUGGAAGAACCCCCAAGAUUCGCUCCAAAUUAUUUUUUGAUUGCAUCAAUAGAAAGUACAUCUAAAGUUGAGAACACUGGUGAAAUUUCAUACCCAUUUGAGAAAGUUCACUUCGUGUUGACCAAGAUUUAAAUCCACUCAAAUCCAUUCAAAUCUGCAAAAGUAAAGAGUGUUUUUGAACUUUUCUUCGAGGAGUCAAGUACUAACAAUGUUUGCAUACUUCCAAUAGCUGUUCCACAACUUCAAAUCAUGUAUGUCGUAUCAUUUUGGCCCAAACACAACAAAUUUACCUGAAUUUGAAAUUCAAAAAAAUAUGAAAACACGUCCAAAUUGAAAAUGCUUUUGCAUACAUGCAAUACAUACCAAAUUUGCUUGGCGUGCCAAAUUUUACAAGAUUUGGACAAAAUUUUAAAUCCAAAUGUCAAAAUGAGUUCAUUUCUCCAACAUCUCCCUAUGUGGUGCAAUGUACAUGAAGUACAUUGUGAAAUUUAGAUAAUGCUCUGAUAUUUUUUAUGUGAUGAAGUAUCACUUAAAGUUGACACUUGCAGAAAAUCAUAAUUUAUAAUUUUCGGACAACUAUUUCAUAUUAGUAACAUUUUUAUACUUUUGAGUUAAGUGUAAAUCACAGUAAUCAAGGUAUAGAACAUUUAAUUUUCAUUUCUGAAAUGGUUUGCUAAUUUUUCAAUAUCAAAUUCACUAAAAGUUACUUGUUUUUCACAUUUUUGAUGUCAAACGUGUGCAACACUAAUCCCAAAAGAUUUAGGCAGCUUUGUGAGUGCAUCACAAGUGUUACCACCAAAUAUGAGAUUUUCUGAACUUGAGAUACUAUAUCUUCGUACAUUCUUUGAAAAAUAGAUAAACCCAUAGAACUCAUAGAACUCAACAGAAAUGAUGAGAAAAUCAAUGAAGAAAAGUUGUGUCUGGACCAUACAAGUCGAGCAAAAUUGGAUUCCAUCCGGUUCAGUCCAAUUUCAAACCUAUUUGUGCAUGAAAACAGAAAUUUCAGCACACCAAAAUGGCUGCAGUUGGAAGAACCCCCAAAAUUCGACCUUCUCCAAAUUAUUUUCUGAUUGCACCAACAGAAAAUACAUCAAAAGUUAAGAACAUUGGUGAAAUUGUAAACCCAUUUGAGAAAGUUGACCUCGCGUUGACCAGAAUUUAAAUCCACUAAAAUCCAUUCAAAUCUGCAAAAGUAAAGAGUUUUACUGAAGUUUUCUUCGAGGAGUCAAGUAUUAACAAUAUUUGCAUACUUCCAAUAGCUGUUCCACAACUUCAAAUCAUGUAUGUCGUAUCAUUUUGGCCCAGACACAACAAAUUUAACUGAAUUUGAAAUUCAAAAAAUAUGAAAACACGUCCAAAAUUAAAAUGCUUUUGCAUACAUGCAAUACAUACCAAAUGUGCUUACUGUGCCAAAUUUUACAAGAUUUGGACAAAGUUUUAAAUCCAAAUGUCAAAAUGAUUUCAUUUCUCCAACAUCUCCAUAUUCAUGAAGUACAUUGUGAAAUUUAGACAAUGAUCUGAUUUUUUUUACGUGAUGAAUGUAUCACUAAAAAUUGACACUAUUGAGUUAAGUCUAAAUCACGGUAAUCAAGGUAUAAAACAUUUAAUUUUCAUUGAAACCUAUAUGUUUGUGUUCUAAUAGGUUACAUUGGGUCCAUUGGACCUUUCUUACAUUAAUUUCUUGUGGUAAAUGUAUUGAAAAAAGUGAUUUUUCAUUUAAUACCGAAAUGUGCUGAAAAUCCAAAAUAUGUACGAAAUAUAGUAAAAUUGCUCCAGAAAUUCUUUGAGAAGAACAAGUAACAUGUAAGUUUACCAAACAAAAAUUCUUAUAUGUUCUAAACCUUUAUUUACAAACGUUUUGGACCAAACACUAUAUAUAUAGUUCAUCUCUCCAGCAUUACAUAUAGAAAUAUAUAAAAAAAAGGAAAAAUACAUAUGGAAUUUCAUUCCACGCUCCUAGUGAUCUUCACCAAAGCCUUUGUACAUGUCUCCAGUGUACCGAUCAACGAUCGGAGCACUUCCACGGAGACUUGUACCGUCGGCGGUGGCGGCGAGGGUGGCGGUAGCGUUGGCGACAGCGCUGGCGGCGACGCACAGCGCGACAGCGGGGCCGUAAGAGCUGCUGGAGGCGCCGGCGGUGGAGGAGGCGGUGGCGGUGGUGCAGGUUGCGGGGCCGGUUAACGUACCACCGACGGAGGAGCAGGCUGGGCCGGCGAUGAAGACACGGCCUUCCUUUUACAGCUACCUCGCUUGACGCCAGACGUUGGCGGAGGCGGAGGCGGAGGCGGCGUCGGAGUUCGACGCCGUGGUGGAGACCGACGGCAUCCACGACCACGGUGGCCAGUGUAGCGCCGCCUACUACGGAGUUCAUCUUCGUCCGAUGAAGUCAAGAAUGUCGUCCGUCGGUACGGACUCUCUCCGUCGAGCUCCCUAUUCUUCGCUUCAAUGGAGGAGCACUGGAAGGAGUCCCCAGACCACCGCGCCAUGUCGAUGAAUCUUUGGUAUCAGGGAAGAAGGCUAGAUGGAAAAGCCAGAAUGAUGGCACGGAAUAUAUAGGAACAGAGCUCUUUUGAGAGACUUCCGCACGUCCCCGCAAGUCAAGCUCCCUAUUAAUUAAGGAAUAUUGAAGGCCAGAGGGCACGCAGGAACACAUCAGUUUCCCAUGCAAGUCCCUGCAACUGCCCACGCACGCCGGUUUCCCAUGCAAGGCCGCCGCGCAUGCCGGUUUCCCAUGCAAGGCCGCCACGCACGCCUCCGCAAGUCAAACCGCUCCGGCGAAGAGCCCAACUCGCAUUCAUGCAAACCGCUUUCAAAGCCCACCACCCAACACUCAUCACCGGAAACCACUCCCCUUCCCCUUACCAUCGCUAUUUAACCCGGCGCCAUGCCACUACUUCUUUCUAUUCUUCUCCUUCUUCUACACAUCUUCACCUCUCUCCACUUCUUAUGUGCGGUUAACUGACGGGCAAUGGCAUUCCAAGGCCGCACCUUCAACCCGCCGCCCCUCAGGGAGGAGCAGUUGUUCCCACCGCGCGUGCUUGUGGAGCGUACGCUCCAGGUGUGGGGGAUGCCGCGCAGCAAGAGCCCGAUGGCGCUGGUCGAGGACUUCCUCCACACCGGUUUCUUACACCGGGAGGCCGUAGGCUCUCCAAUGUACCGCAUGGAGCAGCUCCGAGAGGAUGGCAUCGACACGGCCAUCCUAGUGCACCUCACCAACAGCCACGACACCGAGUACCUCCUUGGCCGCGUGUACUGGUGUGGAUGCGAGUUUAUCGCGUUACGAUGUACAACGUGUACACCAACACGGCGAACAAGUUCCCCCACGCCGGCCAGAUGCACGGCCUCCCGUACAUCGUGCCGGAGGUGGCGCCUGUGGAGGGGCCUGCCCAGCCUAGCGUGGCAGCAGAGGAGGAAGCCUACGGCCAGGAGUGAUCGGCCGCGUUGUUGUGAUUGUAAAAUUUUAUAUGAAUGUCGUUAAUUGUUAGAAUCUGCACUUGAUGUUCUAUGAUGAUGAAUUGCUGUGGUGUGAUUGUAAUAACCGCUUUAUUGAACUGCCUGUGAUGUGAUCGCUUCCAUAAUUGUGAUCGUAAAGUUUUAUAUCAAUGUCGUUAAUUGUUAGAAUUUUCUUUCUUCGAUUAGACUAUGUAGAAGCCCCUUUGCCCGUUUGGUUCUGACGGGCGAGCCCACGGAGGCGUAUCUGGCGGCGCCGUUGCCGGGGCGAGCACGGAGGCGUAUUUGGCGGGGGCGGCGGCGUAUUUGGGAAAGGGAUGAGAGAGAUAGGCGACGGACCCACCUGUCACUUUGUUUCGUCUCCAACAUGUAAGUUAAGUCGACCGUCCCCACCUGUGAGGACGUGGCCUGCAUGUAAGGUAACCAGACCCGUUAAGACCUGUCCGCUUGCACUCUCUCCUCGCAGCCCCACACGCCAGAAACGCGGCUCUGGACCCACCUGACAGCACUCCCAGCGGCCCACCCGUCAGAACCAAACGGGCAAAGGGGCUUGACCGUUAGGAGGUGCUCCGUGAGGGCAUUUGUAAGGAAUCGCGAACGAACAAGUGUAGCAGCGAGCACUGUUUUUUGCCUCGCGUAUAACUGAGUACAGGUAAGGAAAGAGGGGCACAGAAAUAAAAAAAUCCUACGAUAAAUUUGUAGUUUCUGAUAUUUUUUUUAGGGAAUUUGUAGUUUCUGAUUAUCUGGCCGUGUCCCACGAUCGGUGCUGAAAAGAGACCCACACUUGUGUGCGCCUUUCCUGGACUGCCAUAUCACAUGGGCAUGUCUUGUUUGAGUAACAUGCGCCAUUAGUGACUGAACUUCAGUCGUCUAUCCAAUCCAAUCCAAUCAUCAUACUCUGAAUACGCUCGUCUGGUCCAUCAAACUAAUAAUAAUGUGCAAUAUAAUCCGAUACGGCCGAGAGAUUUGUAUUUAAUGAUGUGACUGCUUUCUGACAGACAUGGCCCACAAACUUUUUUUCCAAUUCAUCUCAUCCCCUUUCCUUCCUUCACUCCGCCACCUCCAGCACCACCCACCGCGUGUCCUCGUCGUCCUCUCUGCUCCCGGUCGCAGCAACUCGCCGCAGAUGCUCCCGGACAUCCCAGUCGGUGCGUCGUCGAACGUCAGGUGUACCACGCAGAUGCUCCCGCGGCCAGGAGUGCAAACCCGGAGGCCGCGCCGACGGUUCUUGAUGUGGUCUCGAUGGGUGCCUCGCUGCUACUGCCUUGUGGUUCAUAACGCUCUGGCGGCGGCAGUGUCAUCGAAGAUGCAACAUUGCUCCGGCGGAGGAGGGUUCGAGCUCGACUCCUCAACAGUAGUCGAUGCGGGUGUUACUCGAGUUCAACGUCUUGCGGAGCGCUCAGCCGGCAUCGAAGAAGAAGGCUCUUGUAGCACGCUCACACGUUGCCUACUCCUGCUCCUCCCCCGUCGUCGCUGGAGAAGAAGAGCUGACGGGGCCAUCGGCCCUCUCUCACGUGCUGGUGGAGGAGCUGGUCAUGGUGUUGGAUUUGGUUUGAAGGGAAGAGUUGGAGGGGGUUUCCCGUAAAAAUGCCAUCACCCAAUACCUGUCAGUCUGUGGACCCUGCCUAUCAGAAAGCCGCCACGUCAGCAAACUACGUGUCUCUCGACCAUGUUUUUUUAGUUCGGUUGCACAUACAAGACAAGUUUAGUGAAUGACAGUGCAUUCUACUUAUCCCUUUUCCACCUUGUAAGAACAACUUUUGAUUUGUAUUUUGUCAAAUUCUCGACCUUAUUACCAGCAAAUAGCUAUCUCAAGUCAACGAGUUGACAUUAAGGUGUCAGACAAUUAUGAUAAUUUUUCUAAGGUUUUGUUUGGAUGUAAAUAUUAAGAAGCUUGAAUUUGAAUUGUCUUGAAUACCAAAUCAGCAAUGAAACUAAAUUGGACCUGAAUCGCAAUUCUAAAUACCAAAUCACCAUUCGCUCGAUAAGAGUAGAGAAUGGAUACUCACGUCCUAAUAGAGUCGAAGAAAUAAAUUAUUCUCCUAUAAAAAACACACGGUCCCAAUUAUACCUGGGCAUGGGUGGCCGGCCCGAAGCCCGAUGUCCCGGGCCGGGCUCGGGCCUCCCUUUCCAGUCCCAAGCCCGGCCCGAAAGCCCGAAAAAAGCCUGAAAUGACUAAAAACGGGUAUUUUUUAGAAAAAAUAGGUAUAAAAAUCAUUUAUUUAUUCUGAAAAUAAUUAUUUUAAUGCUUAAAUGGCUUAUUUUCUGAAUUUUGGGCUGGGCUUCAGGUUUGACAGUCAGGCUUUUAUGAAGCCCGGCCCGAGGUUUGCCCAGGUAUAGUCCCAAUAAACCCAUCUUAAAGAUCUAUGUUUGAAAUUUUAACAAAAUCCAACUUUUUUUAAAUAAAAAAGACCGAGAAACGCCGCAAUUCAUGGCGUUCGCACCAUAAUCCGUGUUUGCAUCCUUUACGGAAACACGUAGUGUUUGCCUCUGAAUCUCCACGCGUAAAGGGAUGCAUGGCCAUAUGACUGAGAAAUGCCCCAAUUCAUGGAGGUGUGGUAGGGGGCAGAGCCAUCUCACCGGCAGCGACAUACUCGCACGUGCGCGAGCGAGGCAGUGCGCCGAGGUGCCCUACCCUGGCACACCAUUGGUCUCCCUGCCUUCUGGGUUUUGUACUAAAUCAAAAUAUUAAAGUUUGACUAAUUUUAUUGGAAAUCUUAGCAAUAUUUAUGACACUAAAUUAGUAUCAUUACAUAUCUUUUGAAAUGUAGUUUCAUACUAUACUAACUUGAUGUCAUAUGUGUUACUAUUUUUUCCGACAAAGUUGAUCAAACCUAAUUUUUUUUUGACUUGAGACAAAACUCAGAAGUAUGCUUAUCUGUGGACGGAGAAACUACGCACACCUCCGGAUGGCACCGGGACGAAACCCACCGGGUAGUGGCUGCCCAAACCCAUUCCCACGACCCUGAACCCAGCCCCGUCCUUGUACCCGUCCCCGGUCACGGGUUUUUGAAUUUUUCCAGCCCCGUCCCCGUCGGGGAACCCGAACCCGUUUUCUACACAGCCAAAAUAGCAGGAGCAACAUUAAAGAAAAACAAUAGAAUUUGAGUACCAUUCACACACAUAUGACAACAGCAACAUGACAACAUCAUUUAAUAAGACGACAGCAUAUAGUUCUCACAAAAUAGACGAUCUCAUACAAGUUCACACAAAAUAGACGACGAUCUCAUAAAAGUUCACACAAACACGCAAACGAACAUAAGCAUACAAGCUGACAACAACACAACAUGGUCCAAACAUACUAGCGGCUGUAUGUGGAGAAUAGGGAAUUUGGGUGGGGAUUUAGAGUUAGGAAUAAUAUAUAGGUAGCGUUUGGGGUAAACAUAUGGAUUGGGUCACUUAUAUGGGCUAUGUUGAAAUAUUCAUGGGUUUCAUCGGGUUUCGGGUUCGAGUAGUGCUGUCUCGGGUCUAAACUCGUGAAACCCGCUAGGUUUCUAUUUUUACCGAUGUACAAACCCGCGGGGAUUAAAUUUGACACAAACCCGUCCCCAAAUGGAGUAAAAACCCGCGGGUUUUUGGUUUUCGGGUUUCGGGGGCCCAUUACCCAGCCCGCUUCACUGCUCCCUGCUCGCAAGUAGCUUCACUGAACUUUCAGGGCUCUGUGCGCCGUCAAAGCUGCCCUGCUUGCUUGCCUGCUGCCUGCCCGCCCGGGUCCUCUCAUCCAUUAAUAUACAUGUAUAGUUUCUUCAUGUCCGUAAAUGAAAGAUCGCGUCUAGCAAGUGGUUUGCAUGUACUACGUGUGUAUGAUAAGAGGUUGCGGAAAUUGGCUAGUUUCUCAACAAUACCGCUUUUGUUAAAAAAAUCGUAAGAAAGAUCCAUGCAGUAUAAAUAAAAACAUAAAUUUGCAUCUGUGGGGACUUGAACCCUUGAACCCAGAUAGUGGAAUCAUGCAUUUUUCUCAACAUGCAACCGUGCACCUCGUUAGGCCCACCACAUGCAAAUCAUGCAUGCCACCUCAUAAAGUCAUGCAUUAUUUUUUUUUGAAGCCAUGCAUGUAUUCAUUUGCAUUUUUGUAUUAUUCUCAAUUCAAACCAUGCUGCCACAUUAAUUCAAUCAUGUUUUCUUACUUUGAAAAAGUUUUUCUCUUUUUAUACAUCAUUUUGUCACAUAUUUCUUAGGCCAGAUUGUUUUUUAUGUAAAAUAAGAACAUUUUAACAUAUUUUCCAAUAGUUUUAGUUAACUUUAAGCAUUUUUAUAUACAUUUGUGUUAACAUGUUUCCGCAGCAACACGUGCGAUAUCAUCUAGUACUCUCUCCGUCACAUAUUAAGUGACUUUUUAUUGCAUGUAUCUAGACGCUUUUCAAACUUAGAUGCAUUCAUAUUUGGGCAAAUUUGAGUCCUUUAAUAUGGGACGUACGGAGUACAGUAUAUAAAGCAUGGGUGAUAAUUUCCCCAAAAAGAGCUGGAUGGGAUGACAUUCAGGUUGGUAUAGGUAGGUAAAAAAGAAAGAAAAACCCAAUGCCGUGCAGAUGUGGUACAAGAAAAAUAUUUGAAGGACUUGACUAAGCAGCAGCAGCAGCAACAGCAAGUUCACGUCUUUUCUCCUCACUUCGUCUAUAGCGGUUAGCAGGCCCGCGGAUCCUUGAAAAUUAUGCCACAUCCUCCGGACUCGACCUCCUCAAGUCGUUUUCUGAGUACACGUUUCACACUUUUGUCGCUUUCACUCAUCCCUUCCAAAGCGAAAAAAGGCAAAAUCUUGUGCCUUCCUCCUGCCUGGCUUUGAGUUGAUUUUCUUUCGUUCUUCCCAACAAGCAAAGUACACAAUUCUGGGUGAUACGGUAGAAGUAUAUAUUUUUACUUUAUUUUUAUUCUAAAAAGUGUAUUUUCCUAUAUAAUAGUAUCAGCUGUCAAAGGUACAAAGAUUUCACUGCGUGGCAAACGUGAUGAGCGAUCUAACAAAGAGGUACAAAAUUUCAACUACGCAGUUUCUAGAACACCACCUAUUUCUGAGAGGUAGUAUUCAAAAUGUUUUGUCUGUAGCUAAAUAGUUUGAUGACGUGCCUCUAAUUAUGGGUUAUCAAAUUUAGUCUACCCAUAUGCAUAACACGUAAGAGAAGGGGUUAAUUUUUUUUUCUUUUACAGCAAGUGGUGGAGUAAUUUGUUGGUCAAUAAUUUUGUCUAUAGCUAAAUGCAUAUACAGGAUCAUACUAGUUCUUUUAAUAUAUUUUCCAACUAAAUUAUUAUGCUGCUAUAUAUUUGUUCCCUGGCGUCAAUAAUGUUCUCAUUAAGGAAAACAGGAGGGGGUGACUGCAGUAUUUUGUUUUUUAGAGUAUCACCUGAUUUCGCCUCCGCGAGGAUUCGAGUCUAGAGACCGGGGGCAUACAUUUACUUGCUCAACUAAAUGAGUUAGUGGCGCUUCACAUAUUGUUGUAUUGCCGUGCAAAAGAGCAAUAUAACUGUAUUUCUUGAUUCAUUUCACCCUGUUUCACUAUGCACUAGGGAUUUAGGUAAUAUUGGAACUUAUUUUUUUUUCAAUAUAAAACUUCAUCUUCAGCAUAUUUGCAAGGUCACGAUCUAGAAGAAAACUGAAAUAUAACAAAAUCACGUACAUACUACUUUGUGCUAUUUUUCGUUAUUUUUUUUUGGCAAGAUCAAGUCAUCUUAACAUCCACAGAAGAACGAACACAUACGUAUGCUUCGGUGCACUAGACAAGAAGUGACCACAUACAUCAUGCAUGCAAUGGAAAUUUGCCGAGAUAUAUAGAGGAAAAAUAAUGAGUCAUGUACACGAGUAAUGUACAUAGAGAUACAUAUAGGAAAAAUAAUGAGUCACGGCACACGAGUAAUGUACAAUAAUCACAAAAGUAGAAAUACUCAUCAUGCGUGCAUGAAACAACAUGAAUUAAGAACAUAAUACAAGAAAUACAAAAAGGAUGCAUCAUCUCUAUCUAGACAUAGCCUGAUGCGAUGUCAAGCCACUUAUUCAAGAGAUAGCACGCUGUGGCGAUACAUAGCUAGCUCCAUCCAGGUGUCUCCUCAUUCAAUUGUCAUAUAUGUAUAGAGAGAGAGGAAGAGAUCAACUGUCGGUUGUCGGCGGUUUGCGCUUCGGUGGCGGCUCAGGCUUUGGUUCGGGUUUGGGUUCUGGUUUAGGCAUCGGUUCAGGCUUGGGCUCGGGUUUUGGUUCAGGUUUAGGCAUGGGCUUAGGCAUGGGCUCAGGCUUUGGUUCUGGUUUAGGCAUUGGCUUAGGCUUGGGUUCGGGUUUUGGCUCUGGUUUGGGCAUUGGCUCAGGCUUGGGUUCUGGUUUAGGCAUGGGCUCAGGCUUUGGUUCCGGUUUAAUUGGCUCAGGCUUCGGUUCCGGCUUAGGCAUUGGCUCGGGCUUGGGCUCAGGUUUUGGCUCAGGUUUAGGCAUUGGCUCGGGUUUGGGCUCAGGUUUAGGCUCAGGUUUAGGCACUGGCUCAGGCUUAGGCUCGGGUUUAGGCUCAGGUUUAGGCACUGGCUUAGGCAUGGGCUCGGGUUUUGGUUCCGGUUUAGGCAUUGGCUCAGGUUUGGGCUCGGGUUUAGGCUCGGGUUUAGGCAUUGGCUUAGGCAUGGGCUCGGGUUUUGGUUCCGGUUUGGGCAUGGGCUCUGGUUUUGGCUCGGGUUUUGGCAUUGGCUUAGGCAUGGGCUCUGGUUUUGGUUCCGGUUUAGGCAUCGGCUCAGGUUUCGGCUCUGGUUUAGGCAUUGGUUUGGGCAUUGGUUCCGGCUUGGGCUCUGGCUUCGGCUCGGGCUUGGGCAUGGGUUCAGGUUUGGGCUCAGGUUUCGGUCCCGGUUUGGGCAUUGGUUCUGGCUUCGGCUCAGGUUUCGGUUCAGGUUUAGGCAUGGGUUCAGGUUUCGGUUCAGGUUUUGGCUCUGGUUUUGGCAUGGGCUUGGGCUCCGGUUUUGGCAUGGGUUUUGGUUCCGGCUUUGGCUCUGGCU
This 64860-nucleotide long non-coding RNA is filed under the name Brachypodium distachyon (stiff brome). RNAcentral's name for it is "long non-coding RNA (BDIS_LNC001046)". The stretch from base 44007 to 44142 matches the Rfam family "MIR1120/MIR1122 microRNA precursor family". The record is from RNAcentral. Lineage: Eukaryota; Viridiplantae; Streptophyta; Magnoliopsida; Poales; Poaceae.